GUGCUUAUUUCACUGUCUAACCCUGCCCAGGCCCCGGGGAGAAGCCUGGUAUUCUUCGUGUUUAUUUAAUUGUCAACUCUCUGUGUUCUAAGACGAUACCCUGGCCUUGACUCAGUACAACCUAGGACUGUAAGUCCCAUCAUGUCUAUGGACUUCAGUUUCCAGACAUGAAACACAAGAGGCUUGGACGAGAUUAGAAAUCAAGAACUCGAAUGCGUAUGGUCAGAGCCACGAGAGUUUCCAUAAAGGAACACAACCAUGUGGACAACUUGAUUAUGCCCUACAAAACUCCAUCCAUGUAUGAUGUGACUUGCUCCUACAUGCCUUCCACCAUGAUUAUGAGGCCUCCUGAGCCAUGUGGAACUGUAAGUCUGUUAAACCUCUUUUUCUUCCCAGUCUUGGGUAUGUCUUUAUCAGCAGUGUGAAAAUGGACUAAUACAAGAUAUAUUAAAGAAUACUCAACAUCACUAAUCAUCAGGGAAAUGCAAAUCAAAAUUACGAGAUAGCACCUCACUCCAGUCAGAAUGGCUAUGGCUACUAUAAAAAAUUAUGUCACUUUUGAUCUGUAGCCAUUAUAUUUAAAAGUUUCAUCAAUUCUAAGAUGCAUGUUUAUAAAAAAUCAAUCUCUCUGAAAUCAGGAGUAUUUAAUAAUUGGAGACAUUAAAUUAAAGAAAAUGCUAUGUAUCUUAUUAUUUUAAAGACAGCAUCAGAAUUCCCCAGGGGUUAAAUUUGUAACAUCAUGUCCAUGUGUAAUUUUAAAUUUAUCCAAUAAGAAUAAGAUGGUUGAUUGAAGGUGCUUAAUGCUUAUUCCCAUCCUCACAAAAAUGGACCAAAACAGUAAACAAAUAACUACAUUUUGACCAGAGUGACUAAAGGAGAGUGCUGAAGUAUAGCAAGGGAGUGGCAGAAACUCUGUGUGGCAUGGAAACUCAGGAUGGCUUCAUAGAAAAGGGGUUGAAACACCUUGCUUCUGCCAGCCCAUUCCCCGAGUUGGGAUCAACUCAGAAACCAGGAGGGCCUUCUCUCUCUAAGGAAGAGGUAAGCAAGAGGCCCUGAGAGACCCUCAUCACCACCACAGGCAUUUGCAGUCUUCACUACUGGAGAAGCCUACAGUCCUCACAGGCACUGAGUCCAGUUUAGGGAGCUGCCUGGAGUUCAUACAGCUGCAUUACUCCAGGGGAGGAGCCCACAUUGUGCCCUGCUCCUUGUUUUCCAACCUCCUACUGCAAGGUUCCAUUUUCAAACCACAGCCCCUCUUAGAGUGUACCCUGCUCCAGGGACUAGUAGCCAUUGCAUCCCUCCAUCCCAGAGAUUCUGCUGUUAUGGCUUCACAUAGACACACAGUACUGCACCACAUUCUCCAGCUAUACUGCCCAGGAAUCACUCUACCUCCCCCAUCCCUGUUGCUGCUGCACCUCAACCUGCUACUUGAAACCACAGGCCCAGCAAAGAAACUGUGCUCCAAGUGCCCAAACCAAUUCAGUUCCCUGUUCCGCAGGAAUCAGAGCUUCAGCAUAGGGAAGCAGCCAUGACCCCAGCAUCGAAGCCCAUGCUGUGCCUUGCCCUUAGGAGACCAGGUGCUCUCAUCUAGUGGAAAAGCUGUACCUAAGCCUGUGGAGCAGUCAAGGCCCCUCAGCUUUAACCAAUCUGAUUCCCCACCCCCAGGGAAUCGCAGUUUUGGCCCUGAGAGCAGCUGAAAGCCUGACACUCAAGCCCAUAUGGAACCUUGUUCCCUGGAAACCAGAUGCACGUGCCUUUCAGAGUAGCUGUGCCCUCAGCACUUGAAGCAACCCAGUACCUUGCCUCUCUGAAUCAGAGCUUCAGCCCAGGGGAGUAGCUGUGACACUGGCGCUUGAGCCCAUAUAGCAUCAGACCUCUCAGAUAUCCAGAGCCUGGUCCAGAAGAGCUGGACCAGGUACCCCCUGGCACCUGAGUGAUGUGGUGCCUUACACUCAGGGAAACAGAGCCUUGGAUGAGCUGUGCCACCCCACUGUCUGGGCUGAACAGCUGCAGUGGCCUGCUUCCAUGAAUCUGGACUAUCCCACUGAAGUCUGAGUGGUUGAGUUAGGCCAUAAUUACACUGCUUCUUACCCUCUGGAGUUCAAGUCACUGCUGUACCCUGCCAUUCCUGGGUCCUUUCUAUCAUCACACUUGGCAUCACAAAGUUUGAGCCAGUGCUGUAUCCUACCACUCCAGUGUCCAGAGUCACCACUGUGUGGUGUAAUUUCUCCUGUUGCUCGAGUUACCACUGUGCCCUGUUGUAUCUUGGAGCCCAAAUUGCAGCUGUUCCCUGCUUUAAGGAACACAAUAAUGCUCUAGUAACUAACCUCAAAGAAAUGAAAAUCUAUGAAUUAUUUGAAAAGGAAUUUGAAACAAUGCUUUAAGGAUACUCAGUAAGAUACAGGAGAAUACAGAUAGACAAUUUAAUGAAAUUAGAAAAACAAUUCAUAAUAAAAAUGAAAAAUUCAACAAAAAGAUGUUAUAGAAAAGAACCAACAGAGAUCUUGGAGCUGAGGAACACUAUGAAUGAAAUAGAAAAAAACGAUUGAGAGUCACAGUAAAUUACAUAAAGGAGAAGGAAGAAUCUUUGAACUUGAAGACAGGUCUUUCGAAAUCAACUAAUCCAUGGAAAAAAACAAGUUUAAAAAAAGAGUGAAGAAAGCCUAUAGGACUUAUGGGAUACCAUUAAGCAAACAAAGAUUUGCAUUAUGGGAAUUCCAGAGUACAAAGAGAUGGUGAAGGUCACAGAAACAUUAUUUAACAAAAUAAUUAUGGAAAACUUCUCAAGUCUUGGAAGCGAUUUGGGUAUCCAGAUCCAUUUGGCUCAAACCACAAACAGGUUCAACUCAAAGAGGUCCAUAUUGAGGCACAUUAUAAUCAAAAUGUCAAAAGUCAAAGACAAAGAAAAAUUUAAAAGCAACAAGAGAAUAUCAUUAAAUGACAGAGAAGAAAAUCUCCUUUAGUCUAUCCACAGAUUUCUCAGCAGAAACUUUUCAGGCCAGGAGAAAAUGGGAUGAUAUAUUCAAAAUGCUGAAAGAAAAAUCUGCCAGUCAAGAAUACUCUAUCUAGUAAAACUGUCCUACAGAAAUGAAGGAGAAAUAAAGUAUUUCCUAGACAAACAAAAGUUGAGGGAAUUCAUUACCACUAGAACUGCCUUACAUGAUAUGCCUAAGGGAGUGUUUCAACCAGAAAUGAAAGCAUGAUAAUUACUAAUAUGAAAAUGUAUGAAAUAAAACUCAUUGGCAGAGGUAAAUUCAUAAUCAAAUUCAAAAUGCUCUGUGACAGAAAUGGUGGUGGGUAAAUCUUUCAAAUCUCUAGUAUGAAGGUUAAAAGUCAAAAUGGUAAAAAUAAGUAACUAUAGUUACCAUAAGUUGCUAAGGAAUAUACAAUACAAAAGAAUGCAAAUUGUGGUAACCCUAUUAUAAAUCAUAAUGAGGAGGAUAAAAUAUUUGAUGUGACCCAAAUUAAGUUGUUAUCAGCUAAAAAUAGCUUAUUGUAAGUAUAAGAUAUUUUAUGUAAACCCCAUGAUAACUACAAAGCAAAAAACUACAGCACAUACACGAACAAGAAAGAGAAAAAAAAAAAUAAAAAUUAGCACUACAGAAAAUCACCAAAUCACCAAGGUGAACAAUAAGAGAGGAAGAAAGAAAAGUGAUCUAACAAUGUCAACAAAAUGGCAGCAAUAAAUCCUUACCUAUCAUUAAAAAACUUAAAUGUAAAUAGAUUAAACUCUCUUAUUAGAAGACAAAAAAGUGGCUGAAUGGAUUUAAAAAAAGAAGAUGCAACUAUAUUGUGCUUACAAGAGACCAUUUUUGUUUUAAGGAUAAAUAAAGUUUGAAAGUGAGAUAGAAGAAGAUAUUACAGGCCACUAGUAACUAGAAAAAAGCUGAGGUGGUUUUAUUUAUAUCAGUUAAAAUAGACAUUAAGUCAAGAACUGUUAUAACAGACAAAAGGGUCAUUAUUUAAUAAUAAAGGAGUCAACUCAUCAAGAAGACAAUUUAUAAUUUGUAAUCACAAUAUUUACAAUUUUCAUAAUUAUAAAUGUAGAUGCACUCAACAUAAAAUCACAUAAAUAUAUAAAGCGAAUUUUAAUGAACAUGAGGGAAGAAAUAGAUAGCAAUACAAUAAUACUAGGGUACUUUAAUAUCCCACUUUCAAUAAUGGAUAGAUCAGCUGGACAGAAGGUUCACAAGGAAAUUCUGGAACGGAACUGAACUUUACACCAAUUGGACCUUAGAGACACAUAUAGAGUUUUUCAUCUGACAGUAGCAGAAUAUAUAUUCUUCUUUAACAUUCAUGAGAUGUACUUCAGUAUACACCAUAUGUUAGGCCACGAAACAAGUCUUAGCAAAUUAAAAGAUAUUGAAAUUAUAUCUAGUAUUGUCUCCAACCAGAAUAGUACCAUUGUAGUUUCAUAGUGGAAAUCAGCAACAGGAAGAAUCUUGGAAAAUUUACAAAUAUGUGGAAAUUAAACAACAUGCUUCUGAAAAACCAAGGUUAAAGAAAAAAAAUAAGAGAAAACUUAAAAAAUUUCUUGAGACAAAUGGCAAUGGAAGCACAACAUAUCCCAACCUAUGGGAUACAGCAACAGCAAAAGCAAUUCUAAGAGGGAAGUUGAUAGCAAUAAGUGCCUACAUUAAAAAUGAAGAAAUAUCCCCAAAACAUAGCCCAACAUUAUGCUUCAAGGGGCUAGAAAAAGAACAAACUAAACCCAAAGUUAGUAGAAGGAAAUAAAUAAUAAAGAUCAGAGAAAAAAAUAAAUCAAAUAGAAAACAGAAAACUACAGAAAAAAAUCAAUAAAAUCAAGAGUUGGAUUUUUGAGAAAUUAAACAAAAUAAUCAAAUCUGUCAACUAAGAAAAAAAAGAGAGAAGACUCAAAAAAUAAAAUUAGAAAUGAAAGUGGAGACAUUAUAACAGAUAUAUCAGAAAUAAAAAGGGUCAUAAGGGACUAUUAUGAACAAUUCUAUGCCAACAAAUAGAAUAAACUAGACGACAUUGAUAAAUUUCUAGAAAAAUAUAACCUACCAAGUUUGAGUCAGGAAGUAAUAGAAAGUUUGAGUAAAUCAAUAACAAAUAAAGAGAUGGAAGAGUUUAAAACCUAUAAGCCCAAGACCAGGUGGCUUUUUGGUUGAAUUCUACCAAAAAUUCAAAGAAGCAUCAUCAUCAGUACUUCUUAAAUGUAUGCAAAAAAUAGAGCUAGCAGAAAUACUUCCAAACACAUUUUCGAAGCCAGCAUCACUUUGCUACUUAAACCAGAAAAAGAUACCACAAGAGAACAAAACUACAGGCCAAUAUCUCUGAUGAUCUUUGAUGCAAACAUCUUCAAUAAAAUAUUAGCAAACCGAAUUCAAGAACACAUCAAGAAGAUUACACAUCAUGGCCAAGUGAGAUUUAUCUCUGCCAUGCAAAGCUUUUUUAAAAAUUAAUCAAUAUGAUAUAAAAUUAAAUCAAUGUGAUUUAUCAUAUUAACAGAAUGCAAGAAAAUACGUGAUCAUCUCAAGUGACACAGAGAAAAGCAUUUGACAAAAGUUCAGCAUUCUUUCUUCAUAAAAACUCUUAACAGUUUAGAUACAGAAAGUUUCUCAACAUAACAAAGGUCAUUUAUGAAAUAUCCACAGAUAACAUCAUAUCAGUGGGGAACAAGUGAAAGUUUUCUACUAAGAUCCAGUUCAAGGUAGGAAUGCACACCUUUACCACUUCUAUUCAAUAUAGUACUGCAAGUACAAUACAAUACUGCAAGAGCAAUCAGAGAAGAAGAAAAAAUAAAGGCAUCCAGACUGAGAAGAAAGAAAUAAGAUUAUCUGUAUUUGCAGAUGACAUAAUUGUAUUGUAGAAAUCCCUAAAUAUUUCACAAAAAAACCACACUAUGACAAAUAAAGAUAUUCAGUAAAGUUGCAGGAUACAAAAGGAACAUACAAAAAUCAUUAGCAUUUCUAUACACCAAUAGAAAUGUAGCUGAAAAAAAAAAUCAAGAAAACAAUUUCAUUUAGAAUAGCAUAAAAAAUACCAAAGGGGUGAAACAUUUAUAUAAUGAAAAUUAUAAAACUUAAAUGAAAGAAAUUGAAGAAGACACAAAAAUUGGAAAGAUAACAUGUGCUCAUGGAUUGGAAGAAGUAAAAUUGUUAAAAUGUCCUGCUACCCCAAAUCAGUAUGCAGAUGUAACACAAUCCCUAUCAAAAUUCCAAUGGCAUUCUUCAUAGAGAUAGCAAAAACAAUAGAAAUAGAAAUAGAGAAACAAUUUUAAAAUUUAUAUAGAACCACAAAAAACCAGACUAGCCAAAAUAAAACAAAGACAAAGUUGGAAGCAUCAAGCAUCGCACAUCCUGAUUUAAAGUUAUAUUCCAAAGCUAUAGUAAUCAAAAUAGUAUGAUACUAGCAUUAAAACAGAACCAUAGACCCAAGAAACAGGAUAGAAAGCCCACAGAUAAAUUCAAACAUAUAUGAUCGACUGAUUUUCAACAAGGGCACCAAGAGAACACAAUGGGAAAAGGAUAGUUUCCUCAGUAAAAGGUGCUGUGAAAACUUGAUUUCCACAUGCAAAAUGAUAAAAUUGGACACAAUUUUACACCUAUGUAAAAAUCAACUCAAAAUGAAUGAAAGGCCUAAGUGUUAGACCUGAAAUCAUAAAACCAUAAAACUCCUAGAAGAGAACAUCACGUGAAAUCUCCUUGACAUUGCCUGACAAUGACUUUUUGGAUAUCACAUCAAAAGCUCAGGCUACAAAAGCAAAAUGAUAAUAAAUGACCAUUACUGGUUUAUGUGUUUACUAUACUAUAAAUUAUUAUUUUAGAGUGUACUUUUUCUAUUUAUUAAAAACAAUGUUAAUUGUAAAACAGUAUCAGGCAGGUCCUUCAGGAAGUACCCAGAAGAAGGCAUUGUUGUCAUGGGAGAUGAGAGCAUAUGUGUUAUUGAUGCUGAAGGCCUUCCAGUGGGACAAGAUGUGGAGGCAGGAGACAGUGAUAUGGAUGAUCUUGACCCUGAGUAGGCCUAGCCUAAUAUGUAUGUUUAUGUCUUCGUUUUUAACAAGAAAAUUUAAAAGUAAAAAAGUAAAAUAAUUUUAACAUAGAACAAAGCUAAUAGCAUAGGGAUAAAAAUAGAAAAUAUUUUUGUACAGCUGUACAAUGUGCUUUUGUUUUAAGCUAAGUGUUAUUAUAAAAGAGUCAAACAGAUAAAAACCAUUAACAAGUUUAUAAAGUAAAAAUGUUACAGUAAGUAGGGUAAGUUUAUAAUUGAAGAAAGAAAAUGUAAAAAUAAGUUUAGUGUAGCCCAAGUGUACAGUGUUUAUAAAGUCUACAGUAGUGUACAGUAAUGUCCUAGUCCUUCACAUUCACUCAUUGCUCACUCAGUGACUCACCCAGAUCAGCUUCUAGUUCAGCAAGCUCCAUUCAUGGUAAGUGCUCUAUAUAGGUGUACCACUUAUUAUCUUUUAUACCAUGUUUUUACUGUACCUUUUCUAUGUUUAGAUAUACAAACACUUAUCCUUACGUUACAUUUGAUUACAGUAUUUUACUACAAUAACAUCCUAUACAGGUUUAUAGUGUAGAAACAAUAGGCUAUACCAUGUAACCUAAAUAUGUAGUAGCAUAUGGCAUCAGGUUUGUGUAAGUGCACUCUAUGGUGUUCAAAAAACAACAAAAUUACCUAACAGUGCAUUUCUCAGAAUGUGUCCACAUCAUUAGGUGAUGUAUGACUGUAUUUAAAAAGGUGCUCCGUACCACCAUUCAUCAAGGAAAUGAAAAUUAAAACCACUAUGAGAUAUCACCUCACACCUGUUUGAAUGGCUGUUAUCAAAAGGACAAGAGAUAAUAAAUGUUGGCAAGGUUGCAGAGAAAAGGAGACCCUAAUACAUUGUUAGUGGGAAUGUAGCUUGGUACAAAUGUUAUGGAAGAUGAUCUGGAGGUUCCUAAGAAAUUAAAAAAUAGAACUACCAUAUUACCCAGCAAUCCCUUUUUUGGGGUAUAUACCCAAAGGAGAUGAAAUCAUCAUCCCUGCACUUCUGUGUUCACUGCAGCAAUAUUCAGAAUAGCCAAAAUAUGGAAACAACCUAAACGUCUGUCAACAGAUGAAUGGAUAAUAACAAUAACAAUGGGGCACUAUAUAGCUAAUAUAAUAGCUAAUAGCUAUUAUAUUAUAGCUAUUGUAAUUGUAUAUAUAUAUAUAUAUAUACACAUUCUAUAUGUACAUAUAUAUGUGCAAUGAAAUGUUAUUCAGUCUUAAAAAAGGAAUAGACCUGUGUGACAUUAUGCUAAGGGAAAUAAACCAGACACAGAAAGAAAAAUAGUACAUUGCCUCACUCACAUGUGGAAUCUAAAAAUAAAAUAAAAGGUCAAAUAUGGAUUCCCGGGCAUGAUGGCUGAAUAGGAACAACUCUGGUCUGCAGCUCCCAGAGACGAAUGCAGAAGGCGGGUGAUUUCUGCAUUUCCAACUAAGGUACCUGGUUCAUCUCAUUGGGACUGGUUAGACAAUGGAUGCAGCCCACCGAGGAUGAACAAAAGCAGGGUGGGGCAUUGCCUCACCUGGGAAGCACAAAGGGUCAGGGAACAACCUCCCCUAGCUAAGGGAGGCCAUGAGGGACUGUGCCAUGAAGGAUGGUGCUAUCAGGCUCAGAUACUACGCUUUUCCCAUGGUCUUAACAACCCACAGACCAGGAGAUUCUCUUGGGUGCCUAUACCACAAGGGCCCUGGGUUUCAAGCAGAAAACUGGGCAGCCGUUUGGGCAGACACUGAGAUAGCUGCAGGAGUUUUAUUUUGUACUCCAGUGGCACCUGGAACACCAGCAAGACAGAACCGUUUACUCCCCUGGAAAGGGGGCUGAAGUCAGGGAAGCAAGUGGUCUUGCUCAGCAGAUCCCACCCACACCGAGCCCAGCAAGCUAAGACCCACUGACUUGAAAUUCUCGCUGCCAGCACGGCAGUCUGAAGUGGACCUGAGAUGCUCGAGCUUGGUGGGGGGAGGGGCAUCCACCAUUACUGAGCCUUGAGUAGGCUGUUUGCCUCUCACAGUGUAAACAAAGCCACCGGGAAGUUUGGACUGGACGGAGCCCACUGCAGCACCGCAAAGCCACUGUAGCCAAACUGCCUUUCUAGAUUCCUCUUCUCUGGGCAGGGCAUCUCUGAGAGAAAGUCAGCAGCCCCAGUCAGGGGAUUAUAGAUAAAACUCCCAUCUCCCUGGGACAGAGCACCUGGGGGAAGGGGCAGCUGUGGGUGAAGCUUCAGUAGACUUAAACGUUCCUGCCUGCCAACUCUGAAGAGAGCAGCAGAUCUCCCAGCACAGUGCUUGAGCUCUGCUAUGGGACAGACUGCCUCCUUAAGUGGGUCCCUGACCCCUGUGCAUCCUGACAGGGAGACAUCUCCCAGCAGGGUUUGACAGACACCUCAUACAGGAGAGCUCUGGCUAGCAGGUGGUGGGUGCCCCUCUGGGAUGAAACUUCCACAGGAAGGAUCAGGCAGCAAUCAUUGCUGUUCUGUAGCCUCCACUGGUGAUACCCAGGCAAACAAGGUCUGGAGUGGACCCCCAGCAAACUCCAGCAGACUUGCAGAAGAGGGGCCUGACUGUUAGAAGGAAAACUAAGAAACAGAAAGCAAUAGCAUCAACCUUGACAAAAAGGACAACCACUCAAAAACUUCAUCCAUAGGUUACCAACAGCAAAGACCAAAGUUUGAUAAAUCCAUGAAGAUGAGGAUAAACCAGUGCAAAAAGGCUGAAAAUUCCAAAAACCAGAAUGCCUUAUUUCCUCCAAAGGACCACAGUCCUCACCAGCAAGGGAACAAAAGUGGACGGAGAGUGAGUUUGACGAAUUGUCAGAAGUAGACUUCAGAAGGUGGGUAAUAACAAACUCCUCCAAGCUAACGGAGCAUGUUCUAACACGAUGCAAGGAAGCUAAGAACCUUGACAAAAGGUUAGAGGAGUUGCUAACUAGAAUAACCAGUUUAGAGAAGGACAUAAAUGACCUGAUGGAGCUGAAAAACACAGCACGAAAACUUCAUGAUGCAUACACAAGUAUCAAUAGCUAAAUCGAUCAAGUGGAAUAAGGGAUAUCAGAGAUUGAAGAGCAACUUAAUGAAAUAAAGUGUGAAGACAAGAUAAGAGAAAAAAGAAUGAAAAGGAACAAAUAAGUCCUCCAAGAGAUAUGGAACUAUGUGAAAAGACCAAACCUACAUUUGAUCGGUGUACCUGAAAGUGAUGAGGAGAAUGGAACCAAGUUGGAAAACACUCUUCAGGAUAUUAUCCAGCAGAACUUCCCCAGCCUAGAAAGACUGGCCAACAUUCAAAUUCAGGAAAUACAGAGAACACCACAAAGAUACUCCUUGAGAAGAGCUACCCCAAGACACAUAAUUGUCAGAUUCACCAAAGUAGAAAUGAAGGAAAAAAUGUUAAGGGCAGCCGGAGAGAAGGGUUGGGUUACCCACAAAGGGAAUCCCAUCAGACUAACAGCAGAUCUUUCAGCAGAAACCCUGCAAGCCAGAAGAGAGUGGGGGCCAAUAUUCAACCUUCUUAAGGAAAAUAAUUUUCAACCCAGAAUUUCAUAUUCAGCCAAAUGAAGGAGAAAUAAAAUCCUUUACAGACAAGCAAAUGCUGAGGGAUUUUGUCACCACCAGGCCUGCCUUAGAAGAGCUCCUGAAGGAAGCACUAAAUAUGGAAAGGAAAAACCGGUACCAGCCACUGCAAAAACAAGCCAAAAUGUAAAGACCAUUGACACUAUGAAGAAACUGCAUCAACUAAUGGGCAAAAUAACUCACUACCAUCAUAAUGCUGAUAUCAAAUUCACACAUAAUAAAAUUAACUUUAAAUGUAAACAGGCUAAAUGCCCCAAUCAAAAAGCGCAAACUGGCAAAUUGGAUAGAGUCAAGACCCAUUGGUGUGGUGUAUUCAGGAGACCCAUCUCAAGUGCAAAGACACACAUAGGCUCAAAAUAAGGGAUGGAGGAAGAUUUACCAAGCAAAUGGAAAGCAAAAAAAAAAAAAAAAAAAAAAAAAAGAAAGAAAAAAAAAGCGCGGAGUCUCUAAUAUAACAGACUUUAAACCAAUAAAGAUAAAAAAGUCAAAGAAGGGCAUUACAUAAUGGUAAAGGGAUCAAUGCAACAAGAAGGGUUAAACUAUCCUAAAUACAUAUGCACCUGAUACAGGAGCACACAGAUUCAUAAAGCAAGUUCUUAGAGACCUGCAAAGACACUUAGACUCCCAAACAAUAGUGGAAGACUUUAACACCCCACUGUCAAUAUUAGACAGAUCAAAGAGACAGAAAAUUAUCAAGGAGAUUCAGGACUUGAACUCAGCUCUGGACCAAGCAGACCUAAUAGACGUCUACAGAACUCUCCACCCCAAAUCAACAGAAUAUACAUUCUUCUCAGCACCACAUAGCACUUAUUCUGAAAUCGACCACAUAAUGGAAGUAAAGCACUCCUCAACAAAUGCAAAAGAACAGAAAUCAUAACAGUCUCUCAGACCCCUGUGCAAUCAAAUUAGAACUCAGGAUUAAGAAACUCCCUCAAAACUGCACAACUACAUGGAAACUGAACAAUCUGCUCCUGAAUGACUACUAGGUAAAUAACAGAAUUAAGACAGAAAUAAAUAAGUCCUUUGAAACCAAUGAGAACAAAAACACAACAUAGCAGAAUAUCUGGGACACAGCUAAAGCAGUGUGUAGAGGGAACUUUAUAGCACUAAAUGCCCACAGGAGAAAGUGGAAAGAUCUAAAAUCUACACCCUAACAUCACCAUUAAAAGAACUAGAGAAGCAAGAGGAAACAAAUUCAAAAGCUAGCAGAAGACAAGAAAUAACUAAGAUCAGAGCAGAACUCAAGGAGAUAGAGACAAGAAAAACCCGUCAAAAAAACAAUGAGUCCAGGAGUUGGUUUUUUGAAAAGAUUAACAAAAUAGACCACUAGCCAGAAUAAUAAAGAAGAAAAGAGGGAAGAAUCAAAUAGACACAAUAACAAAUGAUAGAGGGAAGAUCACCACUGAUCCCACAGAAAUACAAACUACCAUCAGAGAAUACGAUAAGCACCUUUACACAAAUGAAAUAGAAAUAGAAAAUCUAGAAGAAAUGGAUAAAUUUCUGGACACAUACACCCUCCCAAGAGUAAACUAGGAAAAGUUGAAUCCCUGAAUAGACCAAUAACAAGUUCUGAAAUUGAGGCAGUAAUUAAUAGCCUACCAGCCAUAAAAAGCCCAGGACUGGAUGGAUUCACAGGCAAAUUCUACCAGAGGUACAAAGAGGAGCUGGUACCAUUCCUUCUGAAACUAUUCCAAACAAUAGAAAAAGAGGGACUCCUCCAUAACUCAUUUUAUGAGGCCAGCAUCAUCCUGAUACCAAAACGUGGCAGAGACACAACAAAAAAAGAAAAUUUCAGGCAGAUAUCCCUGAUGAACCUCGAUGCGAAAAUCCUCAAUAAAAAACUGGAAAAAUGAAUCUAGCAGCAUAUUAAAAAGCUUAUCCAUCAAAAUCAAGUUGGCUUCAUCCCUGGGAUGCAAGGCUGGUUUAACAUACAUAAGUCAAUAAAUGUAAUCCAUUACAUAAACAGAACCAAUGACAAACAACACAUGAUUAUCUCAAUAGAUGAAGAAAAUGCCUCUGAUAAAAUUCAAUCCCCCUUCAUGCUAGAAACUCUCAAUAAACUAGGUAUCGAUGGAACAUAUCUCAAAAUAAUAAGAGCUAUUUAUGACAAACCCACAGCCAAUAUCAUACUGAAGGGGCAAAAGCUGGAAGCGUUCCUUUGAAAACCGGCACAAGACAAGGAUGCCCUCUCUCACCACUCCUAUUCAACAUAAUAUUGGCAGUUCUGGCCAGGGCAAUCAGGCAAGAGAAGGAAAUGAAGGGUAUUCAAAUAGGAAAAGAGAAAGUUAAAUUAUCUCUGUUUGCAGAUGACAUGAUUGUAUAUUUAGAAAACCCCAUUGUCUCAGCCCGAAACCUCCUUAAGCUGAUAAGCAACUUCGGCAAAGUCUCAGGAUACUAAAUCAAUGUGCAAAAAUCAUAAGCAUUCCUAUACACCAAUAAUGGACAAACAGAGAGGCAAAUCAUGAGCAAACUCCCAUUCACAAUUGCUACAAAGAGAAUAAAAUACCUAGGAAUACCACUUACAAUGGAUGUGAAGGACCUCUUCAAGAGAACUACAAAUCACUGCUCAAGGAAAUAAGAAAGGACACACACAAAUGGAAAAAUCUUCCAUGCUCAUGGAUAGGAAGAAUCAAUAUUGGGAAAAUGGCCAGACUGCCCAAAAUAAUUGAUAGGUUCAAUGCGAUCACCAUCAAGCUACCAUUGACUUUCUUCACAGAAUUAGAAAAAAACUACUUUAAAUUUCAUAUGAAACCAAAAAAGAGCCCGUAUAGCCAAGACAAUGCUAGGCAAAAAGAAUAAAGCUGGAGGCAUCACGCUAUCUGACUUCAAACUAUACUACAAGGCUACAGUAACCGAAACAGCAUGGUACUGGUACCAAAACAAAACAGGCAUUUGGACCAAUGGAACAGAACAGAGGCCUCAAAAAUAACACCACGCAUCUACAACCAUCUGAUCUUUGACAAACCUGACAAAAACAAGCGAUGGGGAAAGGAUUCCCUAUUGAAUAAAUGGUGUUGGGAAAACUGGCCAGCCAUAUGCAGAAAACUGAAACUGGAUCCCUUCCUUACACCUUAUACAAAACUUAACUCAAGAUGGAUUAAAGAUUUAAACAUAGGACCUAAAACCAUAAAAAUCCUAGAAGAAAACCUUGGCAAUACCAUUCAGGACAUAGGCCUGGGCAAAGACUUCAUGACUAAAACACCAAAAGCAAUGGCAACAAAAGCCAAAAUUGACAAAUGGGAUCUAAUUAAACUAAAGAGCUUUUGCACAACAACAGAAACUAUCACCAGAGUGAACAGGCAACCUACAAAAUGGGGUAAAAUUUUUGCGAUCUAUCCAUCUGACAAAGGGCUAAUAUCCAGAAUCUAUAAGGAACAUAAACAAAUUUACAAGAAAAAGAAAACCCCAUCAAAAAGUGGGCAAAGGAUAUGAACAGAUACUUUUCUUUUUUUAUUUUGUUAUUAUUAUUAUGCUUUAAGUUUUAGGGUACAUGUGCACAAUGUGCAGGUUAGUUACAUAUGUAUACAUGUGCCAUGCUGAUGUGCUGCACCCAUUAACUCGUCGUUUAGCAUUAGGUAUAUCUCCUAAUGCUAUCCCUACCCCCUACCCCUACCCCACAACAGUCUCCAGAGUGUGAUGUUCCCCUUCCUGUGUCCAUGUGUUCUCAUUGUUCAAUUCCCACCUAUGAGUGAGAACAUGCAGUGUUUUGUUUUUUGUCCUUGCGAUAGUUUACUGAGAAUGGUGAUUUCCAAUUUCAUCCAUGUCCCUACAAAGGACAUGAACUCAUCAUUUUUUAUGGCUGCAUAGUAUUCCAUGGUGUAUAUGUGCCACAUUUUCUUAAUCCAGUCUAUCAUUGUUGGACAUUUGGGUUGGUUCCAAGUCUUUGUUAUUGUGAAUAGUGCCACAAUAAACAUACGUGCACAUGUGUCUUUAUAGCAGCAUGAUUUACAGUCCUUUGGGUAUAUACCCAGUAAUGGGAUGGCUGGGUCAAAUGGUAUUUCUAGUUCUAGAUGCCUGAGGAAUCGCCACAGUGACUUCCACAAGGGUUGAACUAGUUUACAGUCCCACCAACAGUGUAAAAGUGUUCCUAUUUCUCCACAUCCUCUCCAGCAUUUGCUGUUUCCUGACUUUUUAAUGAUUGCCAUUCUAACUGGGGUGAGAUGGUAUCUCAUUGUGGUUUUGAUUUGCAUUUCUCUGAUGGCCAGUGAUGAUGAGCAUUUUUUCAUGUGUUUUUUGGCUGCAUAAAUGUACUCUUUUGAGAAGUGUCUGUUCAUGUCCUUUGCCCACUUUUUGAUUGGGUUGUUUGAUUUUUUCUUGUAAAUUUGUUUGAGUUCAUUGUAGAUUCUGGAUAUUAGCCCUUUGUCAGAUGAGUAGCUUGCGAAAAUUUUCUCCCAUUUUGUGGGUUGCCUGUUCACUCUGAUGGUAGUUUCUUUUGCUGUGCAGAAGCUCUUUAGUUUAAUUAGAUCCCAUUUGUCAAUUUUGGCUUUUGUUGCCAUUGCUUUUGGUGUUUUAGACAUGAAGUCCUUGCCCAUGCCUAUGUCCUGAAUGGUAAUGCCUAGGUUUUCUUGUAGGGUUUUUAUGGUUUUAGGUCUAACAUUUAAGUCCUUAAUCCAUUUUGAAUUAAUUUUUGUAUAAGGUGUAAAGAAGGGAUCCAGUUUCAGCUUUCUACAUAUGGCUAGCCAGUUUUCCCAGCACCAUUUAUUAAAUAGGGAAUCCUUUCCCCAUUGCUUGUUUUUCUCAGGUUUGUCAAAGAUCAGAUAGUUGUAGAUAUGCGGCGUUAUUUCUGAGGGCUCUGUUCUGUUCCAUUGACCUAUAUCUCUGUUUUGGUAGCAGUACCAUGCUGUUCUGGUUACUGUAGCCUUGUAGUAUAGUUUGAAGUCAGGUAGCGUGAUGUCUCCAGCUUUUUUCUUUUGGCUUAUGAUUGACUUGGCAAUGCAGGCUCUUUUUUGGUUCCAUAUGAACUUUAAAGUAGUUUUUUCCAAUUCUGUGAAGAAAGUCAUUGGUAGCUUGAUGGGGAUGGCAUUGAGUGUAUAAAUUACCUUGGGCAGUAUGGCCAUUUUCACAAUAUUGAUUCUUCCUACCCAUGAGCAUGGAAUGUUCAUGCAUUUCUUUGUAUCAUCUUUUAUUUCGUUGAGCAGUGGUUUGUAGUUCUCCUUGAAGAGGUCCUUCACAUCCCUUGUAAGUUGGAUUCCUAGGUAUUUUAUUCUCUUUGAAGCAAUUGUGAGUGGGAGUUCACUCAUGAUUUGGCUCUCUGUUUGUCUGUUAUUGGUGUAUAAGAAUGCUUGUGAUUUUUGUACAUUGAUUUUGUAUCCUGAGACUUUGCUGAAAUUGCUUAUCAGCUUAAGGAGAUUUUGGGCUGAGACAAUGGGGUUUUCUAGAUACACAAUCAUGUCAUCUGCAAACAGGGACAAUUGGACUUCCUCUUUUCCUAAUUGAAUACCCUUUAUUUCCUUCUCCUGCCUAAUUGCCCAGGCCAGAACUUCCAACACUAUGUUGAAUAGAAGUGGUGAGAGAGGGCAUCCCUGUCUUGUGCCAGUUUUCAAAGGGAAUGCUUCCAGUUUUUGCCCAUUCAGUAUGAUAUUGGCUAUGGGUUUGUCAUAGAUAGCUCUUCAGAAUUUUAGACCAAUAUCCUUGAUGAACAUUGAUGCAAAAAUCCUCAAUAAAAUACUGGCAAACUGAAUCCAGCAGCACAUCAAAAAGCUUAUCCACCAUGAUCAAGUGGGCUUCAUUCCUGGGAUGCAAGGCUGGUUCAAUAUACGCAAAUCAAUAAAUGUAAUCCAGCAUAUAAACAGAACCAAAGACAAAAACCACAUGAUUAUCUCAGUAGACGCAGAAAAGGCCUUUGACAAAAUUCAACAAUGCUUCAUGCUAAAAACUCUCAAUAAAUUAGGUAUUGAGGGGACGUAUCUCAAAAUAAUAUGAACAGACACUUUUCAAAAGAAGAUGUUUAUGCAGCCAACAAACAUAUGGGAAAAAGCUAAUCAUCACUGGUCAUUAGAGAAAUGCAAAUCAAAACCACAGUGAGAUACCAUCUCACCCUAGUUAGAAUGGCAAUCAUUACAAUGUCAGGAAACAACAGAUGCUGGAGACGAUGUGGAGAAAUAGGAACGCUUUUACACUGUUGGUGGGAGUGUAAAAUAGUUCAACCAUUGUGGAAGACAGUGUGGCGAAUCUUCAGGGAUCUAGAACUAGAAAUACCAUUUGACCCAGCCAUCCCAUUACUGGGUAUAUACCCAAAGGAUUAUAAAUUAUUAUAUUAUAAGGACACAUGCACACAUAUGUUUAUUGCAGCACUAUUCACAAUAGCAAAGACUUUGAACCGACCCAAAUGCCCAUCAACGAUAGACUGGAUAAAGAAAAUGUGGCACAUAUACAUCAUGGAAUACUAUGCAGCCAUAAAAAAGAAUGAGUUCAUGUUCUUUGCAGGGACAUAGGUGAAACUGGAAACCAUCAUUCUCAGCAAGCUAACACUGGAACAGAAAAUCAAACACCACAUGUUCUCACUCAUAAUUGGGAGAUGAACAAUGAGAACAUGUGGGCACAGGGAGGCGAACAUCACACACGGGGGCCUGUUGUGGGGUGGGAGGAAAGGGGAGGGAUAGCAUUAGGAGAAAUACCUAAUGUAGAUGACGGGAUGAUGGGUGCAGUGGACCACCAUGGCACAUGUAUACCUAUGUAACAAACCUGCAAGUUCUGCACAUGUAUCCCAGAACUGAAUAUAUAUAUAUAUAUGUAAAAUAUACAGAGAUACAAAAUAAAACAUCAGUCACCAUGGGUGGGGGUGAGGGGUAGGAAAUGGAGAGACAUAGGUUAAAGGAUAGCAAAAUAGCAGAUGUGUAGAAUGAACCAGUCUAGAAAUACAAUGAACAACAUGAGGACUAUAGUUAAUGAGGUUGUAUUGUACCAGGAUUUUUUUGUUAAACAAGUAGAUUUUAGCUGCUUCUGUCACAUAAAAGAAAUUAACUCUGUGAGAUGAUAGAUAUGCUAAUUUGCUUCACUGUAGUUAGCCAUUUUAAUAUCUAUAGGUAUCCCAUAACAUCGUGUUGUAAACUUCAAAUGUACACAACAAAAUUUAUUCCUAAAAUAAUAAAUAAAUUUAUCCAGUGUAAGUUUCUUUCAAAUAAAUGUUCAGGCUCAAACUGAACAGAACCCUAAAGCUGUGAAAAUUCAGAGCUUCUGACAUCAAAGCCCACCACCGAGCACAAGAAAUGUACACCAAGUGUUUCUGCUAUGAAUUAAUUCCCAUCAGCUGAGAAAGUGGGAUAUAGCUGACAACAAAAAAUGUAGAGAAGCCUAUAAAUCAAGUUUGCUAUUUAUUUCAUAUUACAAAAUUAUUGAGUAAGGAGUAUAUUUUCAAAGGAUUUAUGGGAAUUAGGGAGCUGAACACGCUUUUGUUGCUUUGAAAUUUUACCCACAAUGGUUUAACUACAUUCAUAAUAACAGUUAUUUUCUGUUGGACUUCGACACAUGUUUUUAACUUUGAACAAUAUUGCAUUUUGUACCAUGAUUAACAUUGUUCAUUCACUAGUUUUGAGACAACAUGCUAGUCCUGUUGAUGCAAAACUUGUUACUUUGCUAGAUCAUCAGAUGGCAUAGCCUUUCUGAGUUUGUGUGAGGUUUUCCAGAACUGUGGCCUGGGAACUUCCAUCCAUGCAUCACACCUAAGAGCUCACAAUCCCACAACAGCAGAGCAUUGGAUUGUUAUUGAGUCACAACAGCUGACAGACCCAUCUGGCUUGUGGCCAUCAUAUAUUGAGAACUCACUGAAAAAUGGACUGUGAGAUCCAGGUGGCAGAGCUCUGGAGCGGAAAUUCAAAGCCAGCCAUAAACAUUCAAUGAAGCAGCUGCCUCUUUAUCAGGAUUUGAAAUAACCUUAAGGAACCCACUACCCAAGCUUGGCUCUGAAGCCGCUUUCGCACUUGAUACUGCCAUAUUGGCUUAAAUUACAAUAUUACUCACUCCACUGAGUUAUGUUAUUACAGACUUUAUGAAAAUGCAUCUUUCUUAACAAGACUUGUGUUUAGGUUCCUAAGGCCCUACCCACACUGUACGACCAGCUCCGCAGUAAAACAUGUUUCUGGCAUGUUUGGAUUGAUUAUAGGCUCUAUCUUGGACUCUUACCUAAAGUUACUUGCUCUCUGCUUCCAUAUAUUUUUAAUCUCCCGAUUUUAGUUUAGCCUGUCUUUCUAGAUCUGAGGCUUGAGAGCAACUAUAAAGAAGUUCAUAACAUCUAGAAAUAAUUAUGAGUUAUUUUAUUAGAUAAUAAAUACUUUAGCCAUAGUCUAGUCAUGAAGCAGCAGGACAGUAUGCAGGUAUAAAUUGAAUGUAGUAGAAGAAAGAAAGGUGUUAAAAAUGAGAUGAUAAGAGGCUCAUAAUCAGAGAAGAGAAAAAGUGAUGGAAGAACUUGGUAGAUUGGAACAAUUAGGAGUUUAAACAGUUUAAACAUAGGUAAAGAGAGGUUUACUGGAGGAAAGGUUAUUUAAUUUACAAAGUAGACAGAGAAGCUACAUAGCUUGGGUUUACUUUCAUUAUCAUUUAGCUAAGGAUUAGAACUACAGAAAUAUUUAUUAGUUCCUAUAAACAAAUAAGUAAAAUCAAAGUGUAUUUUCCAGUGUCUUCUAGAAUGUGUUAUUUGGAAUGCCAAUUACAUGAGAUUGCUUGUGAAAAUAGAGUUUCUGGACUAAUAAAACUAGGAAAUGAAGCAUGGUCAAUCCUCCACUUGGAGAUACACUCAACAUGUUAGCAUAUUGGUGGCCUUGACAUGUCUAGAUUAAAGAAUAACAAAACUGGUUUGACUUAUUAAAUUCCGCCUUCUUUUUCCAAAUGAAAGGUUAACUUAUUGAGGAGCAUAGUUUAAUAAAUUCUGUUUAUGUAAUGUAAGGAAGCCAAAAAAUACCCUUUACAAGUAGAUGCUCACGUAACAAGCAAGAUUCUGAACCACGAGAUUUCAAAAUUUUGAGUUCUAAGCUCUACGAAACCUAUAUUUACUUGUCAGUUAUAUACGUUACUACAUUCUGACAUAUUAUGUAUAUUAUUGUCAGAUAAAAAUACAGAAGAUGAUAAAAAUGUUUAGGAUAGAUUUAUUUUAAUUUUGGCUGUUUAAAAACUUUUUUCUUUCACUAAACUAUUUUAAUUAAUGAUAGGUUUUAGUGAACAAUGUGAUUAAAUUUUCUUUUGAUUGUUGAAAACUUUGGCUUAUGUCAUAAUUUAAAAUUUGUAACACAAUGGAUCAAAGAAGGGGUCCUAAGUUGAGUUUAUUUCCAUAUUAGAUUAAAUGACUGUCAUUUAUGAAAAAGAUACUUAAAAAGACAAAAAGAACAAAUCAAAGAUGGCAUCAAAUUCUCAUGCACUGAUACCUACAGGUGUAAUAUUCAUAUAGAGUUAGUUACAGCGUUAGCAAUGGUGGACAUGGAUCCAUAUUUUGAGAAGUCUUCUUAAUUAUAGGAAUACCUUGGAUAUAUUGUGGGCCCAGUUGUGACUAUUGCAACAAAAAGAAGAAAGGCAUAGCUCAUUUUAUUGUACUUCACUUUAUUGUGCUUCACAGAUACUGCAUUUUUUAUAGUUUGAAGGUUUGUAAUAACCGUGCAUCAUGCAAGUCUAUGAGAACAAUUUUUCUGAUAGCAUGUGCUCACUUUGUGUCUUUGUGACACAUUUUGAUAAUUCUUGCAAUGUUUCAAACUUUUAUUAUUAUUAUGUCAGUUACGGUGAUCUGUGAUCAGUGAGCUUGAUGUUACUAUUGUGAUUGGAGCAUCAUGAACAGAGCCUAUCCAAGGUGGUGAAUGUAAUGAAACUUAAUCGAUAAAUGGGUGUCUUCUGACUGCUCCACUGACUACCCUCUCCCUCUCCUCUGAAUUCCCUAUCCUCUGUGAAACAACAUUAUUGAAAUUAGGCCAUUUAUAACCCCACAAUGACCCUGAAGUGUUCGCGUGAAAGGAAGAGUUGCACACCUUUCACUUUUAAUCCAAAACUAGGAAUGAUUAUAUUUUUAUAUUUUAAAAACACAUUCUAACAUUUUCUUCUUUUGUCCUCCAACUGCUUGUCUCACUUCUUUGCUAUAGGCAGCCCAUUUUGGAUAUGACUUGUUCAUAUUUCUGAGAAUUUCAGCUUCAAUUCUAACCUAUGACAGGCCUGUCUCACUUUUUAGGGGAGUGUUGCUUUUUAAUACAUAGGCAAAUGAAGCCACAAAUGAGCCUUUUCUUAGCCACCAGGAUGGCUUCAGGCAUAUUUUUAAAUUCCUUAGACAAUUAGUACUCCAUGCUUAUUUUUCAACAGGGUUUAGCAAAUAAAGAUUUAUGGAGGAAGUAAUUUUGGACCCAGAUGUGCAGAGAAAAUGGUAAAGAUUUUUAGAAAGAAAAGAGAUUAUAUUUUAACGAAGGAGAAGGGCUAUCAAAGGGAUUUUCUUUUUUAUAACAAUAAAUUUAUGGAGCAUUGUUACUUUACAUUGUGUGUGUGUAUGUUGUGUGUGUGGGUGUGUGUGUGUGUGUAUAUAUAUAUAUAUAUAUUUAUAUAUAUAUUUUUAUAUAUAUAUAUAUGUAUAUAAUGUUUUCCCAGAGUGGAGCAUGUGCAGAAGAUGUAUCAAAGGUGGUUAGAUAUGCAAUAGACUUGCCUGAAUUUCCAGUUUUAUAAUAGUUAGCAAUUCUGUUGUUAAAUCAAUUGCCUUAUCAAUUGCAUUAUCAGUGUGUGGUUUCAUGCAUUGCUAUGGUUCCUAUAUUCUUAGAAAUAGCUCUGGGGCAUAAACAUCUUCAUAUUUCAUUGCUUAUCUGUCCUAGAGUGGUGUGUAGAGUGGUGUGUCCUAGAGUGGUAUGUCCUAGAGUGGUGCGUAGGUGGCUUAUGCCCCUACAUUUCUGUAUUGUUUUCAGUGCGUUUACUUCUCCAAAUGGCAAUCUUCCUCUUCACUUGGAGAGCAUCUCUUUCCCCUCCACUUGUCUCUGCUCAGCUCAGAGAGCAGUCGUAACAACCACAGAGGAAAGAGUUAUGAUUUUUUGCCCACCUUAGCAGUGUAGUCCAAGGUAGCAUGUGAAGGAAGAAGAUCUCAAUUUCUCUCUAAACUCUUAAAAUUAUCUGUGACUUGACAGACGUACCCUAAGUCAAUCCCCAGUGCCCUAUAGCUUUUGUGUAUUCCUCAUCCUUGAAUGUGUGGGGGUGGAGAGAACUGUGACUUUUUCCAACCAAGUCAAUAAGGCAAAGGUGAUGGAGUGCUACUCCCUGAUUAUGUUUCAUUAUGAGCCCAUUUUAGCUGACUGGAGAGAGACUUUUCUCCCUUGCUGGCUGUUGAAAUAUACUGCUGUGUUGUGAGAGGGCUGUAUGGCAAGAACUUACGUGUGGCCUUCAGGAGCUGGGAACACUCCUCAGCACCAAAAAGCCAGCAUGAAAAUGGGGACUUCCAUCCUACAACCACAAGGAGAUGAAUUCUGCAAACAACUGGAGGCAGCUGGAAACAGAUCUUUCCCCAGUCAAGUCUACAAAGGAGAACCGAGCCCUAGCUGAUAACUUUGAUUACAGACUUGCAGAGAAUCCAGCUAAGCCAUGCCCAGAUUGCCAGUCCAUAAAAAAAACUGAGAAAAUAAAUGUGCAAUGUUUCCAGCUGCAACACUUGGGAUAAUUUAUUAUAUAAUAAUAGAAAUUAACAGGCUGAAGAAGUAGCCACGUUUUUAUUUUGAUUCUUCUUUAACUUUUAUAAACUUCAACUUUUCAUCUAUAAAACUGAGGGUGAUUAAACAUAUUGUUAUUUCCUAAUCUUUAAAAAAAAAAAAAACCCUUGCCUUUAUUUGGUAAGAUUGUACACUGUUCUGAAGAUCAUGCCAUUUGGCUCUACCAAACUCUAGUUCAAGACAGUUUUACUUUCUAAGCUUGAAUGAUUAAAACAGUAGCUAAGAAUUUGUGAUCUUAAGUGAGCUUUUUCCAUACUACAUGUGGAUCCACCCCACCUUGAUAUGGAUACAUACUCAUUCAGGAUCCCUAAAUUAGUGGAGGCCUAAGGUCCUUUCCAACACCCACACUCCAUGAUUUUUUAGUUUACAUUUAUUCUAACCCAUGUGACACUAAAACAAAUAGGGCUCUUGGGUACUUAGCUGUCCAAUCUUACUACCAGUUUUUAUACUGUGUACUCUCCAGAAAGGAACAGGAAUUUUAUGUUUAUGGACUAGGCGAUUUUGACCAUGAUUAUCAGCCAAUGAAUCCCACCUGGCAUAGGUUAUGUAGGUUUAAUCCUAAUCUUUAGUUGUGGAAUGAAUGCUUCAUCUCCUUUACUGAGGUAUCCUAAAGAAGAAAGUGAGAAAGACUGGAUUUAUGAUCUCUCUGAACCAUAGCCUGAAAGCUGUGGACAAUAUCAUCUACAUAUAGCACUGGCUUUUAGGUUAUUCCUUCUAUUGUAAGGUUGUUUUUCUUGCUGUUUGGAAACUCUUCUGACCUCUACUUACCUUGAGAACUGGUCACUUAAACAUGCAGUGACAACUCUGAGCUUUCCUAGAUAGCUGCCUACUGGUGCACAAUGUCUGUCUCGCCUUGGGUGUAAGGGUUAGAAUAAAAUGCACUCUUUAUAAACAAGUUGUUCCACAGUGAUUCAGGAUUGGAGAAGAACUAGAAAGUGAAUCAACCAAGAACUUGUACGCUUAGAAAAUUUUCUGGAGUUUUGAAAGUCCUUAUUUUAAAACAGACAAAAAUAUAAUGGUGACCGGGCAUGGUGGCUCAUACCUGUAAUCCCAGCACUUUGGGAGGCUGAGGUAGGCGGAUCACCUGAGGUCAGGAGUUCAAGGCCAGCCAGGCCAACAUGGUGAAACCCAGUCUCUACUAAAAAUGCAAAAAUCAGCCGGGCAUGGUCACGCGUGCCUGUAAUCCCAGCUAUUCAGGAAGCUGAGGCAGGAGAAUCGCUUGAACUCGGGAGGCAGAGGUUGCAGUGAGCUGAGAUUGCACCAUUGCACUCCAGCCUGGGUAGCAGAGUGAGGCUCUCUUAAAAAACAAACAAAAAACUGAAGGCAAAUUUGGAGGUGGUCUAUGUCAUACCAUCCUAGAUUUGAUUCCUGGUGCAGCUGUUUGACACAUAGGUAGCCUAAAGCAGGCAAUUUUAUAUCUUUGAAACUUAGUUUACUUACAGUUAAAUUAGAAAUUUAUGGCUAACAAGAUGAAGAAUUUUUAUUUUUUCAGUAGCUGGUAAGAAGAUUGCUGUGCUAUUCACAAUAGCAAAGGCAUGGAAUCAGCCCAGGUUUCCAUCAAUGGUAGACUGGAUAAAGAAAAUGUGGUACAUAUACACUAUGGAACACUAUACAUCCAUAAAAAAAGAAUGAAAUCAUGUCCUUUGCAGCAACAUGGAUGCAGCUAGAGGCCAUUAUCCUAAGCAAAUGAACACAGGAACAGAAAACCAAAUACCACGUGUUCUCACAAGUAGGGGCUAAACAUUAAGCACUCGUGUACAUAAAUAUGGAAAUAAUAGACACUGUGGACUACUAGAGGUCAGGGGUGGUUUAAAAAAACUACCUAUUGGGUACUAUGUUUACUACCAGGGUGACGGGAUUUGUGCUACAAACCUCAGUAUCACUCAAUAUUCCCAUGUAACAAACCUGCACAUGUACCCCUGUAUCUAAAAUAAAAGUUGAAUUUAAAUAAAUAAGUAUAUAUAUAUAUAUAUAUAUAUAUAUAUAUAUAUAUGAAGAGAUUUUGAUUAGAUUACUGAAUCAUAGAUAAAAAUCCAAAAAUGGGGCUCAGGAUUCCAGUGGAAAAAGGACACUACGUUUCAUAAUCAAGGUGAUUGAGAGAGAAGAGAGGGGGAAACAGUAAUAUACUGAGUCAGGCAGAUCAGGAAAAAAGAUGAGACAAAUGAAACUGCCUGUGAAGUAGCCAAAUUCUCUUCUCUCUCCUCAAUGACACCUUUACUAAAAUCUAUAUGCUCAAUAGUUUUUUUGAUGAGGUGAUUUUUUUUACUGGAAAAUUCAAAGCAGUGCUAGGUUCUGCAACGAGGUCUGUAAAAGAAUAAAGAACAGAAAUUGGCCAGAAAAAAAUUAACCUCUGAUUGAUUUACUAUCUACAUUUCACGACUGUUAUGAUAAUUAAUCAGGAUAGUGUAAGUAAAAUGUCCAGUACAGUGCCUGACACUUGUGCUUUCAAUAAAUGGUAACUAUUAUGAUUGCUACAUUACCAAAUUUCAUCGUAGGACAGUUAUAACCCCUGUGCAAUGAUAAUUAAAAUUCCCUUUAAACCUAGUAAUGCGAAAGUGCUAUGGAUAUAUAAGAAUUAUUAUUAAAUUAAGAAUUGCAGACAAAAUAAUAUAUUCAGUAACACAUACUUAAGUGAGAAAUGCAGUUGUUCUUUGGGAAUAAAAUAGAAAAUUAAAUUAAAGAAUGGGACUCUUUAAUAAAAGAAAGAUCAAUCAAUUCCCAAGAAUAUGUAGAAAGGAGAAAAAUCUAUUAAUAAUCAAGCAGGACAUUGCAAAUUGUCAGUAAAUAAAAUCUCAAUAAUUUGCAUCAUAAUGAGUUGAGUUAUUGGUUUCUAAGUUAUCUGUAGCUACUUAAUGAUUCACUACUUAUCACAUCAACAUUCUUUAAAAACAAUUUCCUACUGAUGAAAUAUUUCACAGCUGGUUAAAAAAUGUCCCCAUCUGGCAUCGUAGUUGGAGCCCACUUUAGUGCCAAGAUAUGGACAUGAUGAAGAAGGGUUGCUGAAUUGUCUGAAAAUUAUAAAGUGGUAGUUAAAAGAGAAAGGAAUAGUCACCAGGAAGGCAACGUUUAAAAAUUCUCAUACAAUCCUGGCAGGAGUAACAUUUUUGCAUGUACUUUGGAAAAACAUUUUAGGAGUAUCCCCUCAAGUUGAUCAUAUGUCUAUCCUAUAUCCCAGCAGGAUCAUCCCUUGAUGGACUACAGCUCUCCUUUUUUUUUUCCUCACUUGUAGUUCUCAAAAAUUACUAUAAUGUGCUGGGAAUACAAGAUCCUGAGAUAAGGAAGAAAUGUCCGGAAUGGCCUGUGCUCUGUGCGCAUCCUUCUUAGAAUAGGAUAUCCUGAAACACCUUUGCUCGGCAAGCCAAGUGAUAUCUAGGGUAUAAAACCCAGAGUGUAUUGCUUUCAGGGUCCCUCAACUGUAGUGCAAAGGGGAGCAUGUACAGGAAAGAGUCCAUCCAUCUUGGACAGCUUUCGGGAGGCUUGAGGGACUGGCUCACCACAAAUUCCAGCCUUCUGUUGUUCCUGGCUGUCUACGAGUAAUAAAGUUGCUUUGCUUACCUUAUGUGUGAAUAUUAUCUCUCAUCAGAUUCAUACAAAUGGUAGAAACUACAGAUUGGUAACUGGUGCAUGGUGAACCAGCUUCACACUCAGCAACACACAAGGUAUGCAAAGCAACGUUAUGAAGGUGGUCAUCUAUAAGCCAAAAACAGAGGCCUCAGAAGAAACCAAACAUGCUGACACCUUUAUUUUGGACUGCUACUAUCCAUAAACAUGAGAAAAUAUUUUUUCUGUUGUUUAAAUCACCCACUCUGGUAUUUUGUUAUGGCAGCUAGAGUUGACUAACACAGGUGUCAAUGUGGGUAAUUCUGCAACUGCUAACAGCAAAAAUGGAUUUCUCUUUUUCUUCUGCCUUCCAAAGUGAGUGCCACUGAUUGAUAUACUAUAAUCUGGAAUUACACUGGGAAGGGAAUUCUGAGCAAGGGUGUUUCAGGACAGAUGGCAGUAAUGCUGAUUUGACAUCAGAAAAUCUAGUACAAUUGAUCCCCUAAAAAUUUAGAACUCUGGAAUACAUAAACAUGGAAAACCUAUAAGUCUAAAAAUCUAAGCCUCUAGACAAAAUCUAAGCAUCUGGAUUUUUUUUUCUUUUCUCUAGGAUAAAAAUAUGUACAUACUAAUCUUGCCAUGUCUAAAGAUAAAUUGUAAACCUACACAAAAGAACAGAGGGUAUACAGGAGCAGUUGUGACAUGAGAUAUAGCUGGAAAGAAAGAGCAUUUUUAAGACAGCACUCACUGGGAGCUCUCAGAGAGCCUACCAACCCUGGGAAGCAACUUGGUGACUACAUUUGUGAUCAAGGCCCGUUUGGUUAAAGUAUUUAUGUUGAACAAUAUUGUAUGUAUAAACUUGACAAUAGAAAAAAUUAUUUAAGAAAGACUAUAUAUGUGUAUGAAUGUGAAUACAUUAUGUGUACUUUAUUAAAUUGUUAAUUGGAAGCAGGUGUAUGUGACAUAGGUACUUCUUUAGACUCCUUUAUUAGGAUUAUCCAGUGAAACAGAGCCAAUAGGAUGUACACACACACACACACACACACACACACACACACACACAUCCCAAUUUAUUUUAAGCCUCCAUGAUCACUCAUGCGAUUAUGGAGUCAGGCAAGCUUCAAAAUCUUUAGUGUGUAUUGGUAGGCUGGAGACCUAGGAUAGCUAACAGUCAGAUAAGGUCCAAAGGUAGUCUGCUGGAAAAGUACCUCUUGCUUGGAGAUGCUGUACUUUGUGUAGCAUUUAGUCCUUCCACUGAUUGUUUAAGGACUGCUAACAUUAUGUAGGGCAAUCUGAUUUACUCAAAGUCCACCUAAUUAAAAAAUAACAGAUGCUGGCAAGGCUGCAGAGAAAAGGGAAAGCUGAUGCACUGUUGGUGGAAAUAUAAAUUAGUCCGGCCACUCUGGAAAGCAGUUUGGAGAUUUCGUAAAGAUCUUAAAACAGAGCUACCAUUCAACCCAGCAAUUCCAUUACUUCCAUCAAACUUCCUGGGCAGUCCCUGCUUCUAUAAGUAUGGCACAGCCCUACGGCAGGCUAGAGAUUAUGGAAGUGCUCAGACACUCUGUAAAAAUGCCCGCUGCAGCUUUCUGUCACUGAGGCAUGCCUUUUCUUUAUGUCCCUGUGUUGUGAUCAGGAGAAGGAUUAACUACCUUAGCUUUUCUUGCUUCUAGAUUGAAAGAAAACUGUUUUGCAGGGGCCUUGUGAUUACAGGGCCUGCCACCUUUCUUUGCUCCCUGACUAUCCAAGGCACUGGGGAUUUUGCUGUAGUGUGGAAAACGUAAUCAUGGUUUUAGUAAGAACAGUCACGCCAACUUCAACUCAUUUCCUUUUAAAGGUGAAUUUACUAGCUUGGCAAAUCAGGAACAUGUACUAUUGUGUUUCUCGUAAUAUAUUUGAGAGAAAGAGUGAAAAAUGAAGACUAAGUGUGAUCAUAACUAUAAGAAAUUGCAAUUGAUUAAACAAGUGUGAUCAAAGAGUAUCAAUUUGCAAGCUGACGUCAUUUAAAAAUGCAUGCUGUAUGUAUGGCUUCUCAUAAUGUCUUCUGCAGCUCUGUGAUUGCUCUGCCCCUAAAUGGCAGUGAGCUCUUUUAGGUACUGCACCUUGUUUGGAUGCUUAGAUUCUAGUGGGAGAUGCUACAUACAAAAUAUAAUAAUUAAAAAGUGUGGAAGGAUACGAUGAUAACGAUGCAUAUAUGUGUGUGAUACUAUGGAAGCAUGAGGAAGGUGCCUCCCCAACAUGGGCAGAAGAGAGUAGAGAGAGAAGUGAGAGUCAGGUAAAGCUUAAUGAGGUAGGUAAAUCCUGAGCUGACUAUUAGUUUUUGUGUUUCACCAACUUCUUCUAUGUAAUUUCAACCAUGUGCCUCUUUUUGGGAGAUUACAGAAGAGUAUCACUUAUGUAAACAAUGUACAAAUAACCCUGCCACUCCUCACUAAAAACAACAAUAGUUAAAAAAAAAACACACAAACAAAGCUGAUAUGUGCAUACAAAGAUUUGAAUGAAGACGAUUAUAAUUGUCAAUGGUAAUAUCUGGGAAGAGGAUUGAGGGUGGAAUUUUUUUCUAAACUCCUAUAUCAUUAGUAUUUUUCUCUUCUGUAAACUUAUACCACUUUUAUAGAAUUAAAAAAAAUCGACUUUUCAAUUUUAAAAAGAAAUAAUCUAUCACAUAUUCGAUUGAAACAGAGCUACUCCCCCUGUGUAUAAAAAUGCCAUAAACUGCUUAACGUCUCUUAUUUCAUUUGUGUUUACACAUCUAUGUGAAAGGGUGAGGGUUUAGCAGCAGACACACCUCAUCAAUUUAUCUACAGGAAAAUGAUUAGAUUAUUCUAAUUAAUUUCAGAAAUCAGUGAAUUGUGUGGCCUUCUAAAAUUACUACACUAGCUAUGAAACUCCUGGUGACAUUUUUGAGCUAAAUGUUAUUCUUUUUAAUUGACCAGAUGCAAGCCCCUUUUCUCUUCCAUUUUAAAAUCUGGGUGCUGUUAUGUGGCAUGAAAGCACAUUUGAUCAGCUUUAACAUUUUAUCUGCCUCUUAAUGCUAGCAAUACUAGCUUUACUGAAAACUAUUAUAAAACAAAAUGGUUCACUUCAGAAAAAUGUGUCAUUUUCAAUACUAUUCUGUAACAUCUUGUUUGUAUUUCUCCUUCUCUUGGAUAAUACCGACUGUUUUUGUUUCAGUUCACUAGAUAAGCACUAGGAAAGAAACUAGACUUGUCAGACAGAUGGGUAAUAAUUGAUGACAAUCAAAAUGCAAUUGAAUUGCAUUCUUUUGAGAUCUUGAGAUGAAAAGGUACUUAUAGACACUGCUUCUAUUUAUACAGUUUCUUUGUUUGACUUGAAAGUAGCAUAGGUACCAGCUCCUUUUCCUCUCCCCACCCCAUUUUAUUCCAUACCUCUAGAAUGCACUCUUCACACAUUCAUGGGGUUAAAAUCUUUUAUGAAGAAGAUCAAGUAAACUCUUCUUGGGAGGAGUAACUUUCCUCUUGUCUAGUUUGAAAGCCUGAUUCCCCAGAAUUUCUAGACCAGGAUUUCCUACACCAAAUGAUGAGCAUUAUUGCAAUGAGGAGAUGGGACAAUCUCUGCCACAUUUAUCUGGUGAUAAACCAGAAAUCCCAAGAUAACUGGGGCACAGUAAGGGUGAAAGUCAUGAGUUUUUAUCUGUAAGUAAACUUAAUAGUAUUCCCCAAAAAGAUAUCUUCAAAUCCUAACUCCUAAUACUGGUGAAUGUAAACUUAUUUGGAAAUAGGGUCUUCACAGAUAUUAUUAAAGACUGUAAGAUGAGACCAUCCUGGAUUUAUAGUGGCUUGAAAUCCAAUGACUGGUGUCUUUAGAAAAAGAAGAGAGGGCAUAGACACACUGAAAAAAAGGCCAUGCAAAGACAGAGGCAGGGAUUAUAGUCAGGUAGUCCCAAACCAAAGGAUGUUCCAAGACACCACAAACUGAGAGAAAUAAGGAAGGAUUCACCCUUGGGGACUUCAUAGAAAGUGUGGCCUUGCCAACACUUUUAUUUUGGACUUCUGGCCUCCAGAACUAUGAGAGAUUCUAUUUCUGUUGUUUUAAGCCACCAAGUUUGUGUUACAACAGCCCUAGGAAAAUAAUAGAAAUUUUGGUUCCAGGAAGUGGAGAGCUGCUGUAUAAAUACAUAAAAAUUUGAAAGUGGUUUUUGAAUUGGAUAUUAGGUAGAAGACAAAAGAAUUUUGAUAGGUAUAACAAGAAAAUAAACUAGAUUGCAUUGAAAAGAUGGUUGAUAGGAAUGGACAUUAAAGGAAAUUUUGGUGAGGGCUCAGAAGGAAGUGAUGAGUACAAUAAAGAAAGCCUCUGUUGUUUUAAAUGAAUACAUUAUGAACAGAGUAUUGACAGAUAUAUGAACAUUAAAGGUGCUUCUGGUGAUGUCUCAGGCGGAAAUGGCUCACAUGUUAUUAGAAACAGGAAGAAAGGUGAUUCUUCUUACAAAGUGACAGAACAUUUGGUUCAAUUGGAUUCUACUGUUGGGUGGAAACAGAACCUAUAAGGAAUGGACUUGAAUAGUAAAUCGAAGAGAUUUUCAAGCAAAGUGUUGAAGGUGCAGCCUAAUUUCUCCUUGCUGCUUGUAGUAAAAUUCAGGAGGAUUCUAGAUCUUCGAGGAAUCACCACACUGUCUUCCACAAUGGUUGAACUAAAUUACAUUCCCACCAACAGUGUAAAAGUGUUCCUAUUUCUCUGCAACCUGGCCAGCAUCUGUUGUUUCUUGAUGUUUUAAUAAUCACCAUUCUGACUGGUAUGAGAUGGUACCUCACUGUGGUUUUGAUUUGCAUUUCUGUAAUAAUCAGCGAUGUUGAACUUUUUUUCAUAUGUUUGUAGGUCCCAUGAACGUCUUCUUUUGAGAAGCAUCUUUUCAUGUCCUUUGCCUACUUUUUAAUGAGGUCGUUUGUUUUUUUCUUGUAAGUUUGUUUAAAUUCCUUGUAGAUUCUGGAUGUUAGACUUUUGUCAGGUGGAUAGAUUGCAAAAAUUUCUCCCCCUCUGUAGGUUGCCUGUUCACUCUGAUGAUACUUUCUUUUCCUGUGCAGAAGCUCUUUAGUUUAAUGAGAUCCCAUCUGUUAAAUAACAUUUGACCCAGCAAUCCCAUUACUGGGUAUAUACCCAAAAGAAUAUAAAUCAUCCUAUUACAAAGAUACAUGCACUCAUAUGUUCAUUGCAGCACUAUUCACAAUAGCAGAGACAUAGAAUCAACUCAAAUGUCCAUCAGUGAUAGACUGGAUAAAGAAAAUGUGGUACAUAUACAUCGUGGAAUACUAUGCAGCCAUAAAAAGGAAUGUGAUCAUGUCCUUUACAGAGACAUGGAUGGAUCUGGAAGCCAUUAUCCUCAGCAAAUUAAUGCAGGAACAGAAAACCAAACACUACAUGUUCUCACUUAAUAAGUGGGAGCUGAACAAUGAAAAUAUGUGGAUACAGGGAGGGGAACAAUACACACUGGGGCCUGUUGGGGCAGAGGGUUGGUGGAAGGGAGAGCAUUGGGAAAAAUAACUAAUGCAUGCUGGGCUUAAUACUUAGGUGAUGGAUUGAUAGGUGCAGCAAACCACCAUGACACGUUUACCUGUAUAAUGAACCUGCACAUCCUGCACAUGUACUCUGGAACUUAAAAAUAAAAAUUGGCCGGGCGUGGUGACUCAUGCCUGUAAUCCCAGCACUUUGGGAGGCUGAGGCGGGCAGAUCACGAGGUCAGGAGAUCGAGGCCACCAUGGCUAACACGGUGAUACCAUCUCUACUAAAAAUGCAAAACAUUGGCUGGGCACGGUGGCGGGCUCCUGUAGUCCCAGCUACUCAGGAGGCUGAGGCAGGAGAAUGGCGUGAACCCGGGAGGCAGAGCUUGCAGUGAGCCGAGAUAGCGCACUGCACUCCAGCCUGGGUGACAGAGCGAGACUCCGUCUCAAAAAUAAAUAAAUAAAUAGAUAUUAAUUUUAAAAAUUCAACAGGAAAAAGAUGAACUGAAAAAGGAACUACUAAGCAAACAGCAAGGAGUACUUGAUAAUUUGGAAGGUUCUCCACAUACCUAGAUGCAAAAGAUGCUAAAAUUAGAAAAUUUAUUGUUGGGAAAGCAUACUCUAAAUAGAAGGCCAAAGAGGAGACUUAAAAAUCUUUUGCUGAAUAGAUUAGAUGUGUGGCUUAUGGAUCCAACUGACCGUUUCAGCAGACACCAGGAAUAGAGAUUGGUUAUCCAGGAAGGAUCUGUGGAAGAACCUCUUAUCUGACAGUGUGAUCCCCUUGACAUACAUGUUGGACCUACAAGGUUUUUAAGAAUGUUGUAUAAGCAGAAACACUGCCAGCUUAGACUAAAGGGGACAUAGACAGGAACACAGAGAAAAAGGUCACAUGAAGAUGAAAGUAGAGAUUGGGUGGGGUUACUUAAGAAAAGAUUCUCCCUUAGCCUUCAGAGGAAACAUGGUCCUGUUGACACUUUGAUUUCACACACCUGGCCUCUAGAACUGUGAGAGAAUAAAUUACUGUUGUUUCAGGCCACUACUGUCGCAGUGGUUUGUUGCAGGUCUGGGAAACUAAUACACCGUCUAUUAUUAUUGACUCUCUAGUCUUCUUUGGCCACUGCUGAUGCAAAUGAAGUGAUCUCUCUGACCUGAGUACCUCUAACCCUGACCCAGGUAUACCUAUUCUAGCCUUGGAUAUUUCCACAGAAUCAAAUUCACUCCCUACCUCCUGUUAACAGCUUUGUGAACAACUUGUAAGAAAUGUUAUACAUUGUAACAAAGUCUUAUAGGUACUUAAAUCUUAUAAUUCUGACAACACUUACUAAUUAUUUUAAAUGUUUCAAUAAACUUGAAAAAUUUACAAAGAGUGAUGAUAAAUAAAACAAUCUCUACUACACACUUUAUUGGACUCUAAUUGUCAGACUUUUUUUUGCAAGUGAGAAUGAAAUUAAUAAAUUGUCCCCUAAUUGGUAAAGAGCAGACAACAUAUUGUGCACUUGCUUCCAGUUUUAAAAUCUCUUAAACUUCGGUGGGGUAGGGAGAGGACAGCAGGAGAAAAGGCUAAGAAUAUUGAAGGGCAGUGUUUGGAGUAUAUUAAAUAUAUGUUAAUGCAUUGUCUUUUUAAAUAAUCUUGUAAAUUCAUGCACAAAUAAAUAUCUUUUAGCUGUUAGAGUAAAUGUUAUGGAAAGUAUUUAAUAAUAGCUCCCCUUCUGCAUUCAUCAUGUGUCUUAUGCACAUAAUAAUUUUAGUGAUAAUAAUUAUUUCCAUAGAGGCUGAGCAUGUUGGAUCAUGCCUAUAACCCAGCACUUUGAGAAACUGAGGCAGGAGGAUCACUUGGGUCCAGAAGUUUGAGAGCAACCUGGGUAACACAGGGAGAACUUGGCUCUACAAAUAAUUAAAAUCAGCUGGGUGUGAUGGUGCACACCUGUGGUUCUAGCUACUCAGGAGGCUAAGCGAUAUCAUUUGGUGCUGUGUUCCCACCUGAAUGUCAUAUUGAAUUGUAAUCUUCAUGUGUCAAGGAAAGGGCCUGGUGAGAGGUGAUUGGAUCAUAGGCGUGGUUUCCUCCAUGCUUUUCUCAUUGUAGUGAGUAAGUUCUCACGAGAUCUGAUGGCUUUUAAAGUGUUUGGCAGUUCCGUACUCACUCUUUCUCACCCGCUUUCUUGUGAAGAAACUGCUUGCUUUUCCUUCAUCUUCCACCAUGACUGUAAGUUUCCUGAGGUCUCCCCAGCCAUGUGGAACUGUGAGUCAAACCUUUUUCCUUUAUAAAUUACCCAGCCUCGGGCAGUUCUUGAUAACAGUGAGAAAAUGGACUAAUACACUGAGACAGUAGUAAGCCUGGGAGGUCGAGGCUGCAGUGAGCUGUGAUUGCACCACUGCACUUCAGCCUGGGCAACAGAGUGAGACUGUCUCAAGAAAAAAUUACUAUUAUUUCCAUUGCCAUUUAAUGUUAUAACUUAUAAAGGGUUUAUUAAUAAAUUAUGUGUCUGCAUGUCUAUAAAAAUUGAUUCUUAACCCAACAAUUGUGUUGGGAAAGUAAGGUAAGUUGUUAGUAUCCCAUCUUACAAUUAAGGAUACUGAGGCUCAGGUAAUUAAAAUGUCUUGACAAGUUCAUAGAACGAGUAAGUAUCAGAACACUGACCAGAACCUAGGCCUCCCAAUUCUAGCCCAGUGUUCUUUUGGUUUCUCUCUCCUAACUGUGGAAAAGUUGACCAAGUUAUAUAAGGAUAAUCAAUGUAUAUGCUUUUAUCUUUUCUGACAUUGUGAUCUGAAAUUUUACAUGUAAGAAAAAUAAUGUCAAAACCUCUUUAUUUAAUGGCUUACUUCUCUGAACAUAUGCUUUGACAAUUUUUGAAUUGAUAAUAAAAUGAAGCAAACAGGAACAUUAAAUAUACUUAAAUUUACUUGUUUCCUUGUGAAAAUAUGUCAUGCUACUACUAUUGUAUGUGGUGUAAGAAGAAAAUGCCCAGGUUAUAUUGAACAUAGUGUGGUAAUUUUUUAUGAUAUGAGAGGAUUAAAUAGGUUGUAUUUUUGUUUUUUUUUAAUGUUAUUUAAGACAUAUGGAUGGAAUUAAGUUGACUCCAAAGGACAAUUUAUUAUCACUGGAAAACCUGGGAAAUUUCUAAGAAACACUUUAAAAAUAUUUAUAUACUGGGUUCCCCUAAAUCCUUAAGAAAGAAAAGUGAUUCAUGAUUCAAUGCAAUGAAAGACCAGUAUGUUGUAUGUCAGUAAUUUUGCAGAUUUGCAAAGGUAACCAUUGUUUUUUUUUUUGAAUAUGAGAUGAAUGAAUAUGGACACUUUUUGAGGGAACAUUCAAAAAGUUUCAUAAAGUUAGUUAUGCUGUUUUUAAAAAGAACCAUUAAGGAACUAAUGGCCUAGCUGAAUUGAUACCUGGGAAAAUAUUCUACAUCUAAUAGAAAUAUGGUUCAAAUGCAGAAUGCUUACCAGAAAAUUGCUAAAAAUAUAAAUUAAGCAUACGAAGUCAUAUCUAUUAUGCUCCAUGCUGCUGUUGAUGAUAAUACAACAACAUAUUUCCAGAAUAACAGCUAUUCAGGAUAUUUGUAACAUUAAGGAAUUGAAAAUACUUGUCUUUGGGAAAUGUAUACUCAUGAGCCUGAAGGAAGUGGUUAGUCACGCAAUGUGAUAUAUUUUUAUAUACGUAUGUAAAUGGACAUAAAAACAAAAUGAAAACACCUACAAUAUUUGGAUGUUUAAAUUGAAAAUAUAAACAGAAAUAAAUACAAAUGUUAAUGUUGUUAUAUUCACCUUAACACACAUGAUGUUGCAAAAAGAGCUUUUCUGAGAUGACUCUCACAAACAUGAACAUCUCAAAUGGGAGGUAAGACUACAACCUGGUGAUCUGACAAGGGACCUGGACUGUGAAUAUUGUUUGAACUGGAAGUGUAGGAGGUACACUAGUAAGGGUAGAGAUCUCGAGGAUGUGGAAUGAUACCUUCCUUUGUCUGAGUCCCAGUCUGUGGUUUCUGUCCUAUUUAUAAUGACAUUCUGGUUGAAUUUGUUUGUUCUACAAAGUAAGUCAAGUUUCAAGUCAUGUCAGUUUAUCCAAUUAAGGCCUUGAUGAGAGGAAAAAGAGAAGAGGCCAUUUGUGCUCGUGUGCUCAAUUAUUUUUAAAGAUUACAUUCGGCCAUCUAAGCUUUCAUUGGUUGUCAAUAUGUGGUUGAUCAAAUUAGCACAAUUUGGAGGCCCAGUUCAUGAUUCCCUGGGUCUUUUGAGUCAUUAGUGAUCCCUGCUUGAUUGUAGUUGCCUGUUUCAGUAUGCCUGCAGAAAAGAAAAGGGCCCUGUUUAAAGUAUCAAAACUAUAGGAUUCCAAAACAGAUUUAGAAAUUCCCAUCUCCAGCUUGUCUGUUUUCCUCAAUACUAGCAACUGAGGCAUGCUGCUCUCGUGUCACUGUCCUGCCAUUGUCUAUUUGUCUUACUUCUGACUUCUGUGAGUUAGCCCUGGUCUAUUUAUCUUAUUUUGGGCAACACUGUGCUGUUUAAUAUCUGGUCUCUUUUUUCUGUUCAUAGACCCAAAUACUUUUCUCCAGGACAUAGCCUUCCUGUUUUCUUUUGUUCAAGUUUGAUGAGCUCAUGCUCUACACAUAACUCCCAGGGCAGCUUUAUACACUGACUGAAGGUGGAAAAUUGUUAGAAAAGUGUUUAGUAGGCUGAGCAUGGUAGCUCACUCCUGUAAUCUCAGCACUUUGGGAGGCCAAGAUGGGUGGGUCACUUGAGGUCAGGAGUUCAAAACCAGCCUGACCAACAGGGUGAAACCCUGUCCCUACUAAAAAUACAAAAUUAGCCAAGUGUGGUGGUGAAUGCCUGUAAUCCCAGCUGCUUGAGAGGCUGAGGAAGGAGAAUUGCUUGAACCUGGGGGGCGGAGGUUGCAGUGAGCCCAGAUCGUGCCAUUGCACUAAACCCUGGGCAACAAGAGCGGAACUCCAUCUCAAAGAAAAGUGUUUGGUAGAAAAAAAUUAUAGCUGCUCACUACAGAUUAAUGUUCUAACAUGUCAAGCAGGCUUUCAUAAGAUUCUAUAGGGGCUAAUAGAGGCUCACAAUCUCCUAGGAAGAUUGAUGUUUUUCUGGCUCAUCAUCAUGAGGGAGCUGACAGGGAACAUUCAAAAGAUCCUUAUGUGCUCCUGGUGCUCCUCAAUGACCUCAAUGUCAUUUGUGACUGAAUAAGUGAUGUGUUGAGCUCCAUGUUUUCCUGUCAAGGUGAUUUCUUCCCCACACGAUACAACAGACACUUCCACCACCCUAGAGAAUGCCAAUAUUAACCCCCUUAUAUUCUAUAUAUGAAUUUCUGCCAGUCACACAAGAAACCCAAGAUACCCAGGUCAUCUCAUCAUGUGGAUGUUGAUUCUCAAGCAUCUUGGAAUAUCCUGUAAUUAGCCUCCAUCUACCAUUCCUCCUCAGCUCCCAAUUCAUUCUUCUCCACUCUCUGGAGCACAGUCAGUCAUUAAAAAAAAAAAUCCCCUUUUUACUCAACCUCUCCUCAGAGGAUUUCCUUCACUGUUUCUCUAACUAAAAUCUGGCUCUCCAUUAAGGACACUUAGAGUCUUCUCAGACAGUGGUGGUUUUCUCUCACAUGUCUCUCUUACUACUUGGUCUGGAGUUAGGAUAAUUGUCUUUCCUGAUUCUUCUUGCUACCUUCAGACCUUUGUUUCUUCUUCCUUCCUCCUUCCAAGCCCCUGAUUUCUUUUGAAGUUUAUGUCAACAGAUUACCCACUAACCCAGUUUGUUGUAGUCAUCUAACUAAUCCCCAGACCAGCCUUAUUCAUUUCUUGAAGAUUUUAUUAUAUGAUUUACUCCAUCACUACUUCUGACACAAUUCUUGGUGAUUUUAAUAUUCAUGCAGAAAAUCCUGCUAAUAUCUUGAGUUUUUAGUUCCUCGUUGUUAUUUUUCCCUAGAAUCUUGUCCUUCACCUUAUAUCAGCUACCCAUUCUCACAGUUGUGCCCUAGACUUUGUCAGUCCUGGUAAUAGCUUUCCAUCCAUAAUCUCAAUUUUAAGUACUCCACUCUGCAAUCCACCCUUCCUAUCUUUCUAACAUGUUCCUUUAUUCUCUCCCCAUGAGUCAUUGGUCUUUCUGAAAUCUUCAGUCCACUGGGUCAUACCAUCUUUUUGCUGCAUACAUUUUCUCAGCUUUCUCCCAUCUUCAUCUUCCUUUCUCCAAAUUUAGGUUCUGUAGUUCAUUUUUAUGCUCAUUUCUUGCUUACAUCCUCAACCCCUUGGCUCUUCUUUCAUUACAUAUUAUAUGCCUGGCAAAACCCAACUCUGGUCAUGUCAGCCUGCUUUGCACACACACGUCUAGAAAAAAACUGUACAUCAAUGCUUCCCAAUCUUAUCUUAAAGAAGUGAACGUUAUCCUCAAGUUGGAUCCUAGCUAUGUCCAGCAACUGUUUUAUUUCUUUCAUAAACUUUCUCUUACUCCUCUAGAUAACGAUUUCAUACCACCUUCUUCAUUCUCAAACAUAUAUCUCUAUAAAUCUCUUCUCUUUGAGCUAACCAGCUUGCUAUUUCACCGAGAACAUGGAAAUAAUCAGGAGGGAACAUUCACAUGCUUUCACCACCCAGUGGACCCAUCUACAUGUGUUUCCUCUAGCAACUAUGGAAGGGUUCUCAGUGACCUUAUCUAAGACUAGAUGCUUGACAGGAACACUGGUUUUCUUUCUUUUCUCUUUUUCUUUCUUUUUUUUCUUUUUUUUUUUUUUUGGAGACAGAGUUUCGCUCUUGUUGCCCAGGCUGGAGUGCAAUGGUGCGAUCUUGGCUCACUGCAACCUCCACCUCCCAGGUUAAAGUGAUUCUCCUGCCUCAGCCUCCCAAGUAGCUGGGAUUACAGGCAUAUGCCACCACGCCUGGCUAACUUUUUGUAUUUUUAGUAGAGACGGGGUUUCUCCAUGUUGGUCAGGCUGGUCUUGAACUCCUGACCUCAGGUGAUCUGCCCACCUCGGCCUCCCAAAGAGCUGGGAUUACAGGCAUGAGCCACCGUGCACAGCCGGAACACUGGUUUUCAUCUCCUCUGCCUACCGUAGGACAUUACUCCUAAGGGGCGCCUCUCUCCUGUAGCACCAGAUUUUUGCUCUUAACUAGUUUAUUCUCAGCAGAAGACAAAUAAGCUGUAACAUAUCCCAUCUUAAAAAAUCUGAUUUGCCGAUUUCUCUCAAUAUCACCACCUACCUCAGAGCUAAGUUUGGCUCCACCCUCACACUUUACUAUGCUCAGUCAGUCAAUUUUGCCUCUUUAGUCUCUGUUUUUUCUGCUGACACUUAGUUGAAUCACUUAUUACCAUCUCACUCAACAAUUUGAACAGACUCAUUACUUUUCCAUUGUCGGUUCUGUGCCCCAGGCUAGAGCAUUGGGUUAAAUCAAUACACAAUAUAUGUAGAUUUCAGGAAUUGAGUAUUUUUUUAGACUAAGUAUCCUAAAGCUAAACCUCUAUUAUUCUAUAUCUAAAAAGAAACUUCAUAGGGAUAUAUUCUACUUAUUGAAGAAAAUCAAGAUUUCUUAAUUAAUAAAAGUACACAUCAUGUUGCACUGAGUUUCAUAUAUCGUGAUGGUCUUGCUGAAUUUUUGACCAUUUUCUCAAAGUGUCUUGUAAGCUUUCUCCAUUCUCUUUCUAUUUAACUGUAGAAAUUCUAUUAUCCUGCUUUUUAAAAAAAUUGAAAUAAAGAAAUUAUAAAUUAAACAUCUAUAUUCUUACCAUCCAGAGUAGAAAAUGGUUAAUAAUUUGUCAUUUACCACACAGACAUUUCACUGGAAGAAAAAAAAUCAUUUCAGAAAGAAUAAAAGGCUCUUAACUACCAUCCAUCAUAUCAUCCCCCACCAUAGAUCACACCAUCAUCUAUAUUUGUGUAUGUUAUUCAGUCUAUUUUUUUUUGUUUUUCAUCUGUAAAAAAUAUGGUUGAGUGCUAUCCCAACAUUUAUUUUUUUCUGGAGCAGAGUAAAGAGUUAGGUGCCAGGCAUGGUGGUGUGUGCCCAUAAUCCUAACUACUUGGGAGGCUGAAGGAGGAGAAUUGCUUGAGCCCAGGAGUUCAAAGACAGCCUGGGCAACAUUGCAAGACCCUGUCUCAAGAAAAAAAAAGAGCUGGGGAGUAGUAGGGUAUAUUCUUCUCAUAAAUUUAGCUGUCAUAAGGACAAAGAAUUCUCAUAUCCUUUAAGGCCCAGAUCUAGUACUACUUUCCCAUGCUCCAUCUUAAUAUGCAGAAUUUCUGUUCCGAUGUCUUUGGAAAUCUUUUUUUAAUUCACAUUCAUACAUACAUAUAUAUGUAUGAACACAAAUUUAAAAAUGCACAUAAUAUAGACAUACAUAUAUACACAUACACACGUAAUUUAUACUUCAGAUUAAUAUGUAUAUAUGGUUCAUUUAUACUAUAUAUAUGAAUGAAAUAUAUAUACACAGACACACACAUAUAAAUUAUUUAAUUGUAAAUAUGCUCCUUAAGGGUUAGCAUUACUUAUAUUACUUUCAGCAGUAUCUUUACGCAUCUGCACCACCAAAUUGCCUGUCAGAGUAUACAGCCACCCCAACACACCCACCCACAGUCCUCCUCUCCGCGUCCAUAUAGAUAUAUUUUUCUCUAUGACCACUUUUACUUAAAUAUAUAUAAGAAUAAAGGAAUGAACAAUGGAAUGGUUGACUAAGAUACAUGUAAUGAUUCAAAUUCAGUAGGUGCUCAUUAUCUAAGUGAUGUGCUAUACCUCUAAUUCAUUUCUUUAUUACACAUGGCACUAGUAAAAAGUAAUAAAGGGCUCUUAGCUACUUGAAGUGUUCCCAUAACCUAUAGGAGUAUCAUUUGUCUUGGUGGCAACUAGGAAAGGAGCAAAGAACAAUUUGUCUUUUUUUGACUCAUAUUUCCACUUAAAUGUAGAGAGAUAAAAAGCAAGAGACAGCUUGUGCUAAUUAGAAGGAGAAAAUUUAAGAGAAUAUUGCUCUUGGCAGUGUUCAAAAUACCAAGGUCACACAUGUACCUUCUGUAACUUUGCUUCUCAAUGGGAUAGAGUAUUGGGUAACAGGAUUUCAUGGAGGCAACUUUUUAGGUUCUACAAGGGCCUAGCAGCAUACAGUCAAGAGGUUGUUUGUCAAUUUCUUAAAUGGUCACUGACAACAAGAUCCUGUUUAUUCAUUAAACACAGUUCUUAAGAACAUUAAUUUAAGCCUGAAAGAUUAAUGCAUCUGGGUCUACUGCUCCCUUGGGGUACAAUUCAGUUGCUCUGUUACUUAAAAAUGGUUUAGACAAUAAUUUCUGAGGAGGCUCAAAGACUGUGUCUCCUUCCACUCCCACUCCCUAUACAUCAUAUAAUUCAGCAAUGUCAUGACUUUUUGACUGACUUGUGUCUCAUUGGCAUGGAAUAGCCAGUUACCAGUUAUCUAGUUUCUUUCUUCCACACAGCCAGGAAAAGUCAACCUGUUCAGUAUCUCUUGGUCAUUUAUUGGCAGAUUUAAAAAGAACAUAAAUGUUUAAUAAAGAUUCAAUAAUUCUUAUUUUGCUCAUCUGAAAACCCUGUUAUGCCCAUUUAAUUGCUCAGCAAUGCUAUCCAUUUUCUAUGAAAGAAAUCACCUAUUUUCUGAAGUGUACUACAAGAUUAGUAAUGCAAUACUACCAAACUUAUCUUAACUAUCCACCUGUCAAGAUAAAUGAAUAAAAUGUAUUUGAAAUGUAGUUCCCAUGACUUUUUUUUUUUGAGAUGGAGUUUUGCUCUUGUGGCUCAGGCUGGUAUGUAAUGGCGUGAUCUCGGCUCACUGCAACCUCUGCCUCUAGGUUCAAGUGAUUCUCCUGCCUCAGAUUGCCAAGUAGCUGGAAUUGCAGGUGCCUGCCACCAUGCCUAGCUAAUGUUUGUAUUUUUAGUAGAGAUGGAGUUUCACUAUGUUGGUCAUGCUGGUCUCAAACUCCUGACCUGAGGUGAUCCACCCGCCUUGGCCCUGACUUUUACUGAACAUAUUCAUUGAAUUUCUAAUUUAUACAUUUUGAUAAUCCACAAUGGAUCUUUUAGGGUCUCAUUUCUAAUGUCAAGGCUCUUAUGGAGAUCAUUAAAACCUAAGUAGAAUUAAACACAAGCUUGCCUUCUACUCUAAACUGUUAAUAAAAUCCUUUAGUCUUCUGUGUUAAAAGGAGGCUUUCAUUCAAUUACUUCCUGUUUUUGCUAUUUGGUAUUGCAAAAUAAUUGCAAUAUGCUUAGGUGUGAAUAUACUUCAUCAGAAAAAGUUCUUUUAUCAUUAAUAUAGUUAGGAAGGCAUCUCAACAAAAUGAAGCAGGCAUGUAAUAACCUCCCCCCCCCAAGAAAAGGGAAAAACUCCAUAAUAGAAAUAUAUUUUGUCUUAAGAGUUAUAUUUUGUUUCACUAGAGUGUGAGCUCCAUGAGCGUAGUAGUCAUUUCUGGCUUGUUCAUGACUGUAUACCAUUGAUUAGCACAGCAUUUGACAUAGUAAGUGCUCAAUAAACAUUAUCAAAUAAAUGAUGUUACCAACCUUGUUUUAUUCAGACUAAAUUGACCAAAUUCUAAAAUAGAAGUCAUAAACAUCUGCCCUUUAGUGAUUAUUUAACAAAUAACUAUCUUCCUAUUCUUUUAUAUAUUAACCUAGAGCAUUGAUCAUAAUUACGUGAAGCAUCACUUAAAGCUAUAUUCAAGUUUUUUUCAUCAUUCAUUCAUAUAAAUCCCACAGUUUCAAUAUAAAUCAGAAAUAAAAGGCUGGGCAUGGUGGCUCACGCCUGUAAUUCCAGCCCCACAAGGGCUGAAGCAGGAGGAUCGCUUGAGCAUAGGAGUUCAAGACCAGCUGGGGCAACAUUGUGAGACCUCAUCUGUCCAAAAAAAAAAAAAAAAGUUAGCUAGGCAUGGUGGUCCCAUACUCAGGAGGCUGAUGUGGGAGGAUCACUUGAGCCUGAGAAGAUCGCUUGGGCUCAGGAGGUCAAAGCAGCUGUUAGCUAUGAUUGUGCCACUGUACUGCAGCCUGGGUAACAGAGUGAGACCCUGUCUCAAUAAUAAUAAUAAUAAUAAUAGUAAUAGUAAUAAUAAAAUCAUCCUGCUGGUGGAUAUCAUUCCUUUCUCUCUCCAAUUGAAAAACUAAGGUAAAACUUACUUCAGUGGACCAACCAGAAAAUGAGGUUAGCUUAUAAGUGAGAUUGUUUUUCUUCGCCUCUAUAUUGUACUUGGGUUCUUCUGUAUGAGAUACAUUGGAAUUUUCCCAAUUUUUAAGGUUUUUACUCAGGUCCUCAAAUUUCUGUGUCUGGUAUGUUGUCUAACAGACUGUGACUUUACUUUUCUGUAGAGAAGCAACUAUUGAGAAUGCCACAGACUUGAGCUUUCCAUGCUAUAUUUAGAAGAUAAUUUGCUGCACAUUCUUGGAUCGAUUUUGCCAUCUCAGUUACUUUGUGGGAGAUAAUUGACAUUCUUUGUGCUAUGACAACUGUAUGUGAUGGAUUAGUUCUAGUGUUUGACACUGGUUAGCUUCAUAUCAGUCACAGAAUUUCAUGAGCAACCCGAUUCAAAUCCUAUGCAAGACACAAGAGAUUUCUAAGAAUAUAGCCAAACUGAACUUUAGUAAAAGAACAAACAUCUUCUCUCUUUGAAGAAAUCUUCAAUUUUCCAAAGUCACAAAAAAGAUGAACACUCAGUGGACUAUAAUUAAAACAGUUUCUAAUGGUCAGUAUAUAUUGCAAUUGAAAAAUUUCAGUGUGACUAUAGCUAGAUAUUGUGAUACUUUUAUAUCAAAGCAUUAAAACCUUAAAAAUAAUACAGUUAAACUCACUUUUUACAAAUUAAUCAAGGGUGUAAUUUAGUCCAUGAGAAAUUAGAAAUUAUUUCAAUAGGCUACCUUAAAAAUCCUGUAUAUUUAGCUUAUGUUUAAAGUAGUGCAUAAUGGGGAUAAGUGAGGAUACAUUCAGGAGACAAUUUCCUGAUGGGAUUAUGAAGAUUAUAGAAAUACUGAUAGAAAUGUUAGUAUCCAUCAAAAUAUUGAAUGGCAGAAGGCAUAUCCAUAAGAGUUAAUACCUUUUGAGAUCAUAAAAACAUUUAUAAGUUAUAUUUUCUUUGUGAUCAUAUAUGUAGUUGAUUAUCUCCUCACAUCUUGUGUUCCCAAAUCUUUCCUUUCCUUAAACAUUGUAAGACUAAAUAUAAUUUAAAGAACCAGUAUCUAUAACCUUCAAAGUAUGUUAUUAUUCUCUUUCACUUAAAUGGUUUAAUAUCUUGCAAUUCUUCUAUACUUGCCUGAUAUUGUUGUAUUAGCCUCACAUUGCUUUUUAUUGCUUUUUAAUUAUUUACUUGACACAUCAUAAUUGUACAUAUUUAUAGGGUACAGUAAGAUUAUAUAUAUGUAUAUUAUAUAUAUACACACACACUGUGUUAAUGAUCAAAUCAGAAUAUUUAGCAUUUGUGUUCAAAUGAUAUAGAAAAGUUUACUAAUACACAGAUUAUCUAAAAUUCCAUCCAUGCAACUUAACUCAUUGGCCAAAUUGUUCAUAUUUGUGCUUCUGUUUCACUUCCAAGUUGGCCAGAUAAUUUAUCUUCACAAACUUUUAGAACCAUCUCUUCAUACAUUUUUUCUGCAAAAUAAUUUAUAUUAAGACUUCAUGGGUGUUGAUUAAUCUGAGUAUAUCUCUGGCCACCAAAAAUGUCCAAAAACAUUUCUCUUUUAUUGAAACUCGUCUGUUUUACUGAACCAGAUUACUUUAACAGAUUUUUCUUACUUUCAAAUUUUUGUAAUGGCAUUUUCAAUUUAACCCUCUUGGUCCUUUUUAAGGUUUAAAUAGGUCUUCUUUUUCCCUCCCUUCCCUCUCUCCCUCCCUUCCUCUCUCCCUCCCUCCCUCCCUUUCUUCCUUCUUUCCCCUCUUUCCUUCCUUUCUUUCCUUUGAACUUCUUUAUUCAGUUCACCUGGUGUAUGAACAUGGUUUUCUCAAAACUAAAUUAUCAUUUGCAACACUCUCAAUCAUCUGAAUAAAGGCUUUCUUCUAUGUUCCAGAAAACAAGCACUAGAACAUAAUGUACCUGAAAUUACAGGCUGAAUUAACACAUGUUGGCUAAGUGAUGCUAAACACAAAUAAGGCUAAUUUUCUGAAAAUCCAUUCCUUAGGAAAUGACUGAUUUGCUUAGUUUUUACAGUAAUCAUUAUGGUGAGUUCCUUGAUUCUCAGACAUGUCUAUUUUAGUCAUGUCAGUUUUUAUUAAUAAAGGAGAUAGCUGGGCACAGUGGCUCACGCCUGUAAUCCUAGCACUUUGGGAGGCCGAGGUCAGUGGAUCACAAGGUAAGGAGUUCAAGACCAGCUUGGCCAACAUGGUGAAACCUUGUCUCUACUAAAAAGAUAUUGGGGGAACCCACCCCCAAUAUUUCAACAUAGGUUCUUUCUAUUUUCUGUAAGUGUUAGCUGGCUGAGAAAUAGAGACAGUAUAAAGAGAGGAAUUUUACAGCUGGGCCGCCAGGGGUGACAUCACAUAUCGGUAGGACUGUGAUGCCCACCUGAGUCUCAGACUAGCAAGUUUUUAUUAAGGAUUUCAAAAGGGGAGGGGGUAUAAGAAAAGGCAGUAGGUACAAAGAUCACAUGCUUCAAAGGGCAAAAAGCAGAACCAAUAAUAAGGGUCUAACAAAGAUCCCAUGCUUCUGAGGGAACAGGACAAAGGGCAAAAGCAGAACCACUGAUAAGGGUCCAACAAAGAUCGCACGGCAAAGGGCAAAAGCAGAACCACUGACAAGGGUCUAUGUUCAGUGGUGCACGUAUUGUCUUGAUAAACAUCUUAACAGAAAACAGGGUUUGAGAGCAGAGAACCAGUCUGACCACAAAUUUACCAGGGCGGAGCUUUUCCCCACCCUAUUAUUAGGCUUAUGCCUGAGAGUACUGCAGGAGACCAGGGCAUAUUUUAGUCCUUAUCUCAACUGCAUAAGACAGACACUCCCAGAGCGGCCAUUUAUAGACCACCCCCCAGGAAUGCAUUCCUUCCACAGGGUGUUAAUACUCCUUGCUAGGCAAAGAAUUUAGCAAUAUCUUUCCUACUUGCACAUCCACUUAUAGGCUCUCUGCAAGAAGAAAAAUUGGCUGUUUUUGCCCGACCCCACAGGCAGUCACACCUUAUGGUUGUCUUCCAUUUUCCACAAAAAUCGUUAUUCUGUUCUUUUUCAAGGUGCACUGAUUUCAUAUUGUUCAAAUACACGUUUUACAAUCAAUUUGUACAGUUAACACAAUUACCACAGUGGUCCUGAGGUGAUGUACAUCCUCAGUUUACCAAGAUAACAGGAUUAAGAGAUUAAAUUAAAGACAGGCAUAAGAAAUUAUAAAAGCUUUAUUUGGGAACUGAUAAAUGUCCAUAUUAAGAUGAACUCUUCACAUUUACGUUCCUCUGCCAUGGCUCCAGCUGGUCCCUCUGUUCAGGGUCCCUGACUUCCCGUAACAAAAAUACAAAAAAGUUAGCCGGGCACAGUGGUGGGCGCCUGUAAUCCUAGCUACUGGAGAGGCUGAGGAAGAGAAUUGCUUGAACCUGGGAGGCAGAGGUUACAGUGAGCUGAGAUUGCACCACUGCACUCUAGCCUGGGUGACAGAGUGAGACUCCAUCUCAAAUAAAAUAAAAUAAAAUAAAUAAAAUUUAAAAAAAGGAGCUACAUAAAUAUGGGUUUUAUAAAGGUUAUUUUUUACCAUAGAUAGCAAUUCACUAAAAAUUUACUGAACAUUAAAGUAGAUGCUGUGGAUGGGUUAAAGAGAAUUACGUUCAAAGAAGUGACUGGGUAAAAAAUGCUCAAGAAUGUAGAUGGAUAACUGAAUUGAAAGGCCAUUGUUGAGGGUAGGUGCUUUUUAUUCAAUCUCAUGAGGUAGAGAGAUUUAAGUGAACUGAAGGACCUAGAGAAGGAGAGAACAGUAUAGAGGAUAGAUAGUUACACACACAUACACACACUCCUCUUACACCUGUUUAUGUUAGGAAAGCAUAGAAGAGAAAGAGAGAACUGCCAGUUGCUAGGGAAAAUAGCUUCACCCUCAGUCUGGACAUUAACCAGUGAGAAUAGCUAGGCUUUCCUUAAGAAUCAGAGAUUUAUACAAACAGAAUUAGUUGAGGUGAUCCAGCUGUGAGUACUAGGAUGGAAAUUUAGACUUCUGUUUUCUAACUUGCCUGUGUCCAGGUUCCUCAUCUGUAAAAUUAGGUAAAUGUCUCUAUCAUAAAUAUAAGGUGAAUAUUUACUCUAGAACUUACUCUAGAGAUGAGAUAAUUCAGACGUUAGACUUCUUUACUCUCUCUGCUUUGCCCACCCUAACAUUCCUUACCUGGAAAAUAAGGUGGAUAUCUGUAUGUUAAAUAAAAACUGAAUAUGAGGUGAAAUCAGCACAUUCGAAGAAGAAGAUAAAAUGCUGGGUUUCCAAGUCUUCUGUGAAAGAGCUAUAUAUAUUAUAUGAUAUAUAUAAUUCCUGGGGUGAUGACAUCAGGGAAAUACAUCAGCAGCUAUGGUGAGUCUGAGAGCAUUCAUGUUGGACAUGAUUAUGAUGGUUCAUGCGAGAAAUAGAGUUAGCAGAUAAGAGAAACAUUUAGUCACUAUUUUAUUUAAUAGUGUGUAGAUCUUGGGGAUUUGUAAAAUAACCUGUUUCAAUUUGGGGCCAUCUGAAAUUAUUUCUUGUUAUUCAGGGUUUCAAGAUUGUUUUUCAAAUGUAGAUUAAAAAUAUAUAGGAGUCAGUUCGAUUACAGAUCCAAAUUUUUUUUUCACCAGCAUAUUUUUGUUUGAGAACAACUAGUACAAGAAAUCAUUUUAAGCUGGAAUGGGAUGAGCAAAUUUAGUAUAUUUUCUUAGGGCUUUUGAGCUGUUAUGUUACUAUAAUAAAAUAAUUUAAUUUUCUUCAAGUUUACAAAUUCUUUCAUAUGGCACCAGCAAGCAUAGCCACAUUCCCGUUACUGUAGCUUAAAUCCUAAAAUGAAUAGAAAAAAAAACUGAGAAAUUUAAAAUCCCAGAAAUCCAUACUCAAUUCUAGAUAUCUAAUACAUGCUAGUAUUUUUAUCUUGUUCUCUCUGCUUUCCAUCCUUAAAAUGAAUUUCUAAUAUUUUGUAUGUGUGUAUAAAAAUGAGACACAAAGGGAAUUUUUGCUGGCUACUCCUUUGUUGAGUGUUUGUAUUGGAGAUGGAUCUUCUCAGCCCAGCAAUCCUGCCUGUGAUCUAAAGGACUCACAGUGACCUGAUGACUUUUAUUUGGAUUUGCUCUUUCUGUUUUAUGCAGACAUCAUUCAGACAGUCAUCAUUACUUUAAUGUAAAUAAGCAUCCUCUAAAACCUCAAGCUCUGAUAGCUUUGUUUGAUCAGAAGUCCCUCAGUAACAACUUCCUCUGGGUUAUGGAAGUUGACUCAGCAUGAAAGCAUGUUUCCGCUUUUCAGCCCUUUUGACCUAUCUGUGUUCUAAAUGAAACAUUCAAUUACUCUUACCCUUCCUGUUUUCUAACCUUUGCCCAUUGUGAGCCCUUCAAUAUGAAUAAAAUAUCUAGCAUACCAAAGAGGAAAUAAUGAGUCUAAAAGGUAUCCGUCAAGUAUGAUGUAGUUGCCUGGCCAGCUAUAGGCAGAGAAAAAGCACAACUCCCUGCUGUGCAUUCUUCUUUGAGAAAAGAGUUACUGACACCUUUUAGUCUUCUCUCCAUGGGAGCUUAUUUCUUUUUUCUCCAUCCACAGCAUUUCUAAGAUCCACAUCAUCAGAGAAAGAAAAGUAGAAGAAAAAAAAUCAAGUGUGAAAUGCAAUUAUAAACUGCAUCUUGAAAUCUAUACCACCAAGAGGCUAACAAGGCAGAGGGUCCAUGGCCUCUUUUCAAAGUUCAAUUUCAAAGGGUAACUCUAUAUGCCUGAAAUUGAUGGUGCAACCAGGAGGGUCCCACCCAUCAAUUGCAGGUUUCAAAACUGCAACUCUUUCUUUGAUAUCAAUAAUAGAUGACUGGGAGGCAGCUUAUAAAAUAUAAUUGGCAGCUUGGACUGAGUCUGAACACAGUAGCUUGCAAACUUAUGUAAUCCUGGAAUUUGAGAGUUUACGUACCUUGGUGGGGAGCAAGAGGACAUGGGCCAUGAUUAAAUGCCCUGAACAAAACAAGUGAGAUUCAUAUCUUUUUCCAGUCCUCAUCCUUUCUCAUCCCAGUGAAUGGAAACCUGAUAGUAACCUGGAAAUCAACUGUAACUUCUUCCUCUACUAUGUUCUCUUACAUUUAAAAUCCAAAUCCUACCAUAAUUAACUCAUGCAUUCACAUCUUUCCAUCACACUCUCCAAUUCAUGCCACCAUCCUGCCUAGAUUCCUAAAAUGAUCUUUUUUUUUGUCAAGUUUUAGACUCUCCUAACGUAUACUCUACAUUGCAGCCAGCAUGAUCUUACUGAAAGACUGGUAUCUUUAUAAUUCUCAAUGUUACUAUUGCCUUCCAAAACUCAAACUCCUUAACACUGGUUUGCAAUGCCCUGUAGUAUCUGUUCCCCACUUACCUCUCUUCCUUAUCUCUCAGUCAAUCCCCUUUUCUCUGUACUGAAGUAAAUCCCUCUAGGUUCUCCUAUCUUUACCUCUACUUUUUGGCCUAUGUUCCCAUUUUCCUGUAACAUGCUCUUACUCUUCUGGCUUCCUCACACUUAUCUUUUAGGUCUCAGUCUUCUCUCAUUCUUGUACUUGAUUAGGCUCCUCUGUUGCUCCCCUUAAUUUCCCUCUCAUAAGCCUCUUUUUAGAUUGUUGCAUCACUGUUGAUAUAUCUUCAUCCUGAGAAUGGAAGCUCUCUGACAGCUCUGUGAGGGCAGGGAAGGUACAUCAGCUUUUGUGGAUAUUCGUAUGCCCAUGACUCCAUGAUGUUUGUUGAAUGAAAGGACAAAUUAACUUUACUAUGCCCCUGAGAUCCAGUGUCAUGAAUUGUGUAUUAGUCUGUUCUCAUGCUGCUAAUAAAGACAUAACUAAGACUGGGUAAGUUAUAAAAAAAAAAAGAGGUUUAAUUCCUUUACAGUUCCACAUGGCUGGUGAGGCUUCACAAUCAUGGCAGAAAGCAAAGGGGAAGAAAGACACAGCUUACAUGGCAGCAGGCAACAGACAGAGAGCAUGUGCAGGGAAACUCCCUUUUAUAAAACCAUCAGGUCUCAUGACACUUAAUCACUAUCAGGAGAACAGCAUGGAAAAGACCCAUCCUCAUGAUCCAUUCCAUUCUACCAGGUUCCUUCCAGGACACGUGGGAAUUAUGAGAGUGACAAUUUGAGAUUUGGGUGGAGACACAGCCAAGCCCUAUCAAAUGGCUAACUGAGAAGUGGGUUUUCCUUUCCUAGUCUAUCUGGAAAUUGAGGGAGUGGUUGACAAGACAAAGUGCCAUGAAUGAAUGGCUUUGUGUGUCGCUCACAGAGAAGGAAUGGAGAAGACUGCUUUUUUGCCUUAAAGACUGGGCUACUUUGGGAGACAUUGCAUCCUUCCUGGCCUUGCUCUCAAAGCUUCAAAUGGGGGAGGGUAGUGAGCAUGGGGAAAUAAACUACAUUAAAACCUGUUAUAAGGGAUGAGAACUCUGUAGAAUUAGAAUAUAUAAGCAAUACAAAAUGCUGAAAGCUUUCAGAGAGUGUAAAAUGCAGGGUUAGGCCAGGCACGGUGGCUCAUGCCUUUAAUCCCAGCACUUUGGGAGGCCGAGGCAGGCGGAUCACCUGAGGUCAGGAGUUCAAGAUCAGCCCGGCCAACAUGGCAAAACACCAUUUCUGCUAAAAAUACAAAAAUUAGCUGGGCAUUUUGGUGCAAGCCUGUAGUCCCAAGCUACUCUGAAAGUUGAGGCAGGAGAAUGGCUUGGACCCAGGAGUUGGAGGUUAGAGUGAGCCAAGAUCAUGCCACUGUACUCCAGUCUGGGUGACCGAGUGAGACUCUGUGUCCAAAAAAAAAAAAAAAAAGGGGGGGUUAUAUGAAAUUUUCUUUUACAUUUUUCCUUCUAUACUCAGUAUUUUAAAUUUCCUAAUUCUACCCUUCCUCCCUCCUUCUCUUCCUGCCUGCCUUCCCGCCUGCUUUCCUCCCUCUUUCUUCCCUCCCUCCUUCCCUCCCUUCUUUCCUUCCUUUCUUCCUGCCUUCCUUUUUCCCAUGAGUACACAGUUAUUGUGAGCCUAUAUGACAUUUCAUGUACAGUUGCAGGCACUGAAGAUACGAUGGUGAUUAAGUAAAAACAAAAUCACCGGACUCAGGAAGCUCAUAUUUUAGUGAAGAGACCAACUAAUAUAUAUUUUAAAAUGUGUAAUAAAAUGUCAGUUAGUGAUAAGUGCAAUGAAGGAAAAUAAAGUAGGAGAAAGUAUAAAGAGUGAUUAAAGUACGGGGAGAGUGGUGAGGAUAGGCUAUUUUAGGCCUGAAUGUCAGAGAAGACUUUCUAAGAAGGUGUCAAAAAUUUCACUAGAGAAGAUUAUAUAGGAAAGGAAGAGUUUGAGACUACUGCGAUAGGGUCAAAGAUAUGGAAAUAGGGGAAAGAGAUCAAAUUCACCUUUGCCAACACAAAAGGAAGGAGAAUUUUAAAGAACGGUGGUGAGCUAGUGGAAAAGCACUGGAGGACAUAGGGGUUAAUGGACGAAUGACUUGGCCAUUUGUUUUUGCUAAUUGUCUCUUAUCGAAGUUAGGCUCCUACACUCUCACAGAGACUGGGAUGACUCCUACGUUUUUGAGAAACAUAUUUCUGGCUUGUAAAACUGGAAAGAGGCUGGGAGAUUUAUAUCUUAAAAGGGGACAGAGAAGGAAUUUAUUAUUGUGAGUUUUCUAAAGUAAAUGCUGUAAGAAAAGGGAGGCCAGGGACCUAUAGCCAAGAAGUCUGAGCAAAGUUUAAUCAAGCUGAGGAGAAUGUUAAGGCCAUCUUUGACAUUUGGGCAGAGACUUAAGGAAGUGAGAGUGAGUUGCAAACAGGUUCUGAGUAUGAGCACUACAGGCUGAGGCAAGAGCCAAUGCAAACCACCACUAAACAACAAGCCUGACUCUGCAGGAGCAGUCAAAAAAUACUAGUUAGACUCAAGUGGAGUGAACAAGGAGGGGAAGGGAGGAAGGUGAGGCCAGAAAGCUGGACAGAGGCCAGACCAAGGAGGAUUUGCUGGGAAAGUUUGAAGUUUAUUCUGAGUGUGCUGGGAAGUUAUUGGAGGUUUUAAAGAGAGUUUCAUCUACAUGUAAAAGGUAGUCUCAGGCUGCUGUGUUGAGGAGUAGAAGCCAGGAGACUAUCACGGAGACUGUUGCAAUACCCAUACAUGAAUCUUAGAGUAGGGUGGUAAUAAUGGAGGUAGAGGGGCUUGGCACAUUAGCUAGAGUUCUCCAGAGAAACAGAACCAAGAGGAGGUUUAUUCAUUAAUUAAUUUAUUUAUUAUGGGAAUUGGCUUAUGCAAUGAUGGAGGAUCAGAAACCCCAUAUUCUGCCAUCUAUAACCUGGACAACCAGGAAAGCCACUGGUAUAAUUCAGUCUGAGUCCAAAGGCCUGAGAACCGGGGACUGCAGAUUAAGUCUCAGAGUCUGAAGGACUAGGAGCUCUGAUGCCGAGGGAGGAAGAUGGAUGUCCAGCUCAAGAAGAGAGAGAAUUCAGCUUUUUGUUCUGUGUGGGCCUUCAGUCAAUUGGAUGAUGCACACAACGUGGAUGGUGAAGGUUGAUCUUUACGCAGUCUGCUGCUUCAACUGCUCAUCUCUUCUGGAAAUGUCCUCACAGAUACACCUGGAAACAGUGAUUUACCAGCAAUCUUGGCAUCUCUUAGCCCAGUCCAGCUGACACAUAAAAUUAACCAUCAUACUUGACACAUGUGAAAGUGUAUAUUCUUUGCUGAAAAAAUAGAUAUGAGAUAAAAAUAGAAGUGAAGGGAAGCUUAAAAUUUUUGACCUGAGUAACUAGGUAAAUAUUGAUGAUACUAUGAAAUAGAGAAGCCUGGAUGGAGGAGUAGGUUUAGAGGUUUAUGAGGGGUAUAAAAUAAAGAGGUCAGUGUUGGACAAGAUAAAUUUGAUAAGCCAAGUAGGUAUUAUAAAUUUGAUAAAUGUAUUGAUAAAUUUGAUAAGCCAAGCCAGGUAUGUCACCUGGGCAGUUGCAUAUAUUACACUGAAGCCCAAGAAGAGAGACUUUGGAGAUGAAAAGAGAAAUUUGGGAGUCAGAGUAUACAUGGUACUUAGGGUCUUCUGAGUCUUUUUCAGGGUAUGAAGAUGAGAAGAAAAAUACAGCAUUUUUUUUCAAAUUUAUUCAUAUUUAUUUACUGACUCAGCCUAAUAUAUAUGUAUAUAGAAUAUCUAUAUAUAAAAUUCAUUAGCAUGAAUAGUUAAUAUAAAUGUAUAUAUUUAAUUCAUUUGCAUGAAUAGUGACUUCGUUCAGUAACCUUUUUUUUCUGCUGCACUCCAGGUUGAAUUACAGAAUAAGCAAGUGCUUUAAGGGAACAGCAAAGCAAGAAUGCUGAAUUUGUUUUAAAAAAUGCAUUUGAUAUUUCAAAAAUUUAUAUGAGAUAAUAAUGGGAAAAUGCAGAAUUUUGUUUUGCCUUUUAACCUCAUUUUCCCAAUAUAGUAUUUUUAGAAUAUGCCUAUAUUUGGGGUGUAUGACACUAUACCAUUUCAGUCUUAAUAGCGCCUUGACCAGACCCAAAGCUUGGUACUGGUCACUGUAAGAAACAAAUAGCUCACCCUGUUCAUUUUUUUAAAAUGUAUUGUAGAAUCUCUACUUAGCCGUAAAUAAAGCAAAAGUGACUAUGCAUAAAUGAAUAAUGACACUCUGCAUUAACUGGUGGUAGUUUUUAGUUCUUUAUUAACUUUAAUCAGUGGUGGAUGAAACUCAAGGGAUUUUAGAAAUCAAACAAACUCAGAUGAGCAUCACAAAGAGAAUAUUUCCAGAUGGUAGUCUAUUGUUUGGUCCUCAGAUAUUUAUUUUAUUUUUAUGUUAUUUUUACACAUUUAGUGGGAAAUUGUCAAAUAUAAGGUCAGAUAGGGAUAUUAUGUGUCCACUCUGUACCUGGCCUGGUUUUAAAUGCUGGGAUUAUAGCCAUUUUAAAUGGAUAAAAGUAUUUGCUCUUUUUGAAACAAAUAGAUAAUAAAAAUAAAUAAGCAUAAUUUAUAUGCUAACUGGUAAUAAGCACUAUGGAUAAAAAUAAAACAGGAUUAGAGGGAAUAGAGUGCAUUGAGUUGGGGAUAUGUUUGCAAUUAUAAACAGGAUGAUCAGGGAAGGCCUCACUGAGGGGAUGUUAUAUUAGUCUUUUCUCACAUUGCUGUAUAGAAAUGCCUGAGACUGGGUAAUUUAUGAAGAAAAGAGGUUUAAUUGGCUCACAGUUUUUCAGGCUUUACAGGAAGCCUAGUGUUGUCUGCUUUUUGGGAGGUCUCAGGAGACUUCCAAUCAUGGUGUGAGGCAGACGGGGACCUCUUACAUGGCAGCAGCAACAGCAAGAGAGAGAGCAAGGAGGGAGGUGCUACACAUCUGUAAACAACCAGAUCGCUUAAGAACUCACUAUCAUGAGAAGAGCACCAAAGGGAUGGUGCUAAGCCAUUCAUGAGAAAUACCUCCAUGAUCCAAUCACCUCACACCAGGCCCCACCUCCAACAUUGGAGAUUGCAAUCCAACAUGAGAUUUGUGUGGGAACAUAGAUCCAAACCGUAUCAGUUAUUUGAGCCAAGAUAUGAAGGAAGUAAGAGAGCAAGGCCUGUAGACAUACCUAAAAAGGGCAUUGCAGGCAAAGGAAACAGGAGAAGACAUUUUUAGGCUUAAGCAUGGCUGGAAUGUUUGAGGAAUAGCAAGGCGACUACUGUCUAGGGAGCCAAGUGAGGGAGAGGAGGACAGUAGGAAAUGAUGUUAAGGAAAUAGCGGAGACAAGAUUAUUAGAGCCUUGAAACCACUGUGGCUAAUUGGCUUUGAAUUUGAUGAAAAACCACUGGAGGUUUUUAACCAGAGAAGUAACAUGAGCUGAUUCACAUGUUGAAAGGAUGACUCUGGCUGCCAUGUUAAGAACAGACAUUAGAUAUGGGCUGGGGGGAGGGGUAAGAGUAAAAUCAGGGAGAACUCCAGGAUGCUAUUGCAAUAAUACAAGUCUUCACCUGAUGAUUAGUGAUGACAGUGGAUGACAGUGGACCGUGCCCUUUGUUGUGGAGGUGAGGUAGGAUCAGAAAUAUCUUGAAAGUACCUGUGGUGAGACUUGCUAAAGAAACGUAGGUGGUAUGUGAGAGAAAGAAAGAAAGGAUAACCUCAGGGUUUUUGGCCUGUAGAAUUGGAAGAAUGAAGUUACCAUCUACUGAGACUAAAAACUUAGGAGAGAGAGGUUUGAGGAUAAAGAUUAGGUAUUUAUUUUAGGAUAUUUUAAGUUUGGUAUGCCUACCAAAGGUGCAGUUGUAGUUAUCAAGAAGGCAGUUAGGUACAUGAGUCUGGAGUUCAGCAGUGAGGUCUAGGGGUAUCUGGGAUUAAUCAGUACAUAUCUUAUAUUUAAAUGAACAAGUAUAAGUAGUUGAGUUGUCCAAGGACUGAAAUCAGGGGUGUUCCAUCCAUGUUUAGAGGUUAAAAAGAUGAGGAGGCACCAGCAAAGGAGACUGAAAGCAGUGAUACAGGUGGAAAUCCAGCAGACGGUGGUGUUCUGGAAACCAAGUGAAGAAAGCAUUUGGAGGAGUGGUGAACUGUGUCCAAAGACACUGGCUUGUCUAGUGAAGUGACUGAGAAUGGAAACUUGCAUUUAGCAACAUGGAGGCCACUGGUGACCUUGAGCAAGCAAUUUCAGAGGAAUAGUGGGGCAAAAGCCUGGGUUUAAGAGAGAACUGGAGGAGAGGACAUGUUGGCAUUAGUGAAUGUAGAAAACUUCUUUAAAAAUUUUUGUUAUAAAGGAGAGCAGAAAAAAGUGUUUUGACUGGGAGACCUUAUGGCAAUAGGGUUUUGUUUGUUACUUUUUUAGAUGAGAAAUAUGUAUGCUACAGACUGAUGAUAAAGAACAUAUUGGUGUUACAGGAGAGAAGGUAAUAGAGAGGAUUGCUUGAGUCAUAUACUUGACUAGUGGAGAGGCCUGGGGUUUAGUGUUCAAGAGAAGUUGCCUUUAGUUAGGAGAUGAGAGGGAGAGUCUGUCUCUGUCUCCUCUGCUCCUUUCUUUUCCUUUCCUGCAGUCUCCAUCUCUCCAUCUCUAGUCUCUUUCCCUCCUUCUCUACCUGCCCAUCCUCCAAAUUUUGUCAAAAGUGGUUUAAGGGGUCCUACUAGGAUUUCAAAAAUUUAACCAUAUUAGAAUUAAAAUAUUAAAAAAGGAAAAAAAAAACCAGAGUUGAGAUAUAGGGUUUGUCAACUUAGAAUAAAUAUAGGCAACUCAUCUUACUAAGUACUUAAAUAUUUCAGCAAUCCUAAGAUAAACAGGCAUCUCUUCUUGUCUCAGCUGUGACACUGACUAGCUGGGUAAUUUUGGUUGAAUUACUUAACCCAUCAGGAGUUCUUUUUUUUUUUUUUUUUCCAGAACUAAAAUGAGAGUAAUAAACUUAGUAUCUAAGAUCUCUAAAAGUUUUAAAGACUAUUUAUUUGUAACAUAUUAAUGACUUCAUUUUGUCUCACAUGAACUAUCCACUAAUUCAAAAAUGACUAAUUUUUUGCAAAUUUGUCUCAGAUACAUAAUGUUUAACUUCACUUAUGUUUUAUGUUAACAUACUCUUUUUAAAAACAUUUAAGGUAAAUACUUCUGAUAUUCUAUCAUGGUGUGGUUUAAAUAUGAUUUUAAGAAUGUAUAGCUUUAUAUGGAACUUAAGAUCUUUUUCUUGUUGACUCAUUCAUUUUUCUAAAUAAAAUGGUGACAGCUACAAAACAAUAUGCAUAUAAACAAAAAAAUAACUACACAUGGAAUGAGCAUUUAAAUAAUCUCUUAAAUGUUUAUAUUCCAUUAUCUUUCUUAACUCUCUAGGAAAAGGAAAUUAACAUGCAUAAUAUUGGAAUCCAAGUUCCUAUGCAAACCAGAGUGAGUGUACAAAUUAUUCAUAAUAUGCUAAAAAUCUAAAAUAGAUGAAUUUUUAUCAUCCUUAUCCUUUAACUGUUCUUAAUGGUCCCUCUGGAGAUCUCUCUUUCCCCCCCAUUAUCAGCUGUGAAUUCUAUUAUGUCUCUUAAAAACUAUCCCACUUUCUAUGAAUUUUCUUACAAAGCCAAGACUUUGUUAAUCUACUACCAUCACUAGCAAAAAAUUCAGUUUUAUAUUUAGUGGUAACAAUUCAACAUUACCCCCAGAGAUUCUUGAACACACAAGGGGUAUGUGUGACAUUGAUGUGAUCUCUAAAGAAUUACUAGACAAUGAUCUCACUUAUAUGUGGAAUCUACAAAAGUUAAACUCAUAGUAGUGAUAGAGGCAAGAAGCAGACAAAGGCUUAGGCAGAUAGGGAAGGGUCCCUGGAGAAUCUCCGACCCGCCCCACAAGUGUUUACAUCAGAUAUUUUGUGCAGAUAAGGAAACCUGCACAGGGGGCUUUCCUGGGCAUGCCUGCAGUGGACUAGAGGCCCACAUGCACUGAGGGAAAGGGUAGAGUCACCAGGAAUUCACGCCUUAUGCAGACGAGGAUCCUGGCCUCUUCAGCUCAUGUGUGGUGGUCCUGGUAUUCAAUCUGUGAGGUGGAAACCUGCUUGCAAGGCCCCCACUCUUUGCUGAGAGCUUUCUUUUCACUUAAUAAAUUCCGCCCUCUUCCCCCUUCAGGGUGUCUGUGUGCCUAAUUCUUCCUGGUCAUGAGACAAGAACCUGGAUUAGCUGAGCUAAGGAGCAAAAAAUCCUGCAUUACUAGCAGAGAAUAGAAUCAUGGUUAUCAGGGGCUUGCAGUGUGAGGGAUGUGGAAAUUAGGUCAAAAGGUACAAAAUUUCAGUUAGAUGAAAGAUAGCAAUAUUUAUAGGAGGAUAUUCUUUUAAGCACAGAGUUCUUAAAAUCAGCUGACUUCCCUUUAGUUAUGUAUACCUAACAUUGAACAGUUGAUUUUUGAAAAUUUUCUGUGAACUCAAAAGAAAAAAAUAAAAACAAGUGAAAAAGUAAUCAACCAGCCAAACAAACAGAUUGGUUGGACAGACAGCAAGUCCCUGACUCUAAGUAAUCACAACACCCAUUUUUUGAGGCUUCUGAGUUUUCUGAAGCCUAAAAGCUGAAGCAAAUCAGUUUAUUUUUGUUCACCAAGCAUAUAAAUGCCAAAUAACUAGUGUGGUCAUUCCCAGACUGGAAUAGAUAUUGAGAUUGGUUCUUUUUUUUAAGCUUUUUAGUUGACAUGUAAUAAUUAUUGAUAGUAACGGGAUAGAGAGUGAUAUUUUGGUAAUAUGUAUAAUGUGUAAUGAUCCAAUCAGGUAAUUAGCAUAUCCAUCACCUUGAAUUAAGAUUGGUUUUCAGAGUGUGUUAUUUGUCAUUUAAUUAUGUUCAGUGAUCCCCCAUUGAAAACCAAAUCAAACCAAACCAAACCACAUAAAAAUAUACUCUCGAAAUUAUGUUUCAUUCAGCUGUCACUCUCUUUCUCUCUUCAAAGCCAGCCUCCCUCCUCACACACUCUACUGAAACUGCUUCUCUCACCACUAACCUAUGAAUGGCCAAAUUGUGUAACCUAGGCAUUGUGUAACUCUGUUGGUCCAAACAUAUCUAACCAAACUCUUCUCCUCUUGCCUCUCAUGGCUUUAUAUUCUUGUAGUUUUAUUCCUAUGUUUAUUUCUUCUCUAUUUUCAGGGUCCCCUAAUUCUGCCUUUCCUGAAAUAGUGAUACUCCUCAGAAUUCUUCCUGAAAUGUCAGAGAGUUAUCUUAGAAGUGCUCACUGCAGGUCAGACAAAGAAAUGAGAGCUAUUAAUACUAUAAUGGGCUGUCAUUUUAGUCUCUUUAAAGUUUUGGUGAUAAUAGGACAAAUAUAAAAGUAAUUCAGAAAAGAAUAAAGCAAUAAAUGGAUUAGAUGAAGCUAAGCCUGUGAGAUGAUCACAGAGUGGGGUGAUAGACCCUUGCAUAAUGUAAGAUUAAGUAAUAAUAUGCUUGACAGCCAGCCACAUGGAGUAUUGGAUUCUUGUCCCCUUAAAACUUGGAAUUCGUGGUCAAACAAUUAUUAAAAAUUGGCCAGAGUAUGUCCUUGGUAAAAUGAGAUAAUAAAUGUCUCCCUAAUAGGUAUUAUUAAACUCUGGAAACAUACAGAAUUAAGACUAGGAAUAUUUAAGAAAAUCAAAGCAGAAUAUUAUUUUUAUGUUAAAAACUGUAUAAUUUUUAGCAUUUUAUAGUACUGAUAAUGUUUAAGAGAAUUUGCCAUAUUUGAAUUAUAGUCCAGUCUUAAAUUAGCUAUUUAAGGCUGGGCAUGGUGGUGGCUCAUGCCUGUAAUCCCAGCGUUCUGAGAGGCCAAAGUAGGUGGAUCAUGUGAAGUCAGGAGUUCAAGACCAGCCUGACCAACAUGGUGAAAUCCCAUCUCUACUAAAAAUACAAAAAUUAGCCAGGCAUAGUGGCAGGUGCCUUUAAUCCUGGCUACUAGGGAAACUGAGGCAGAAGAAUUGCUUGAACCUGGGAGGUGGAGGUUGCAGUGAGCCGAGAUUGCACCACCACACUCCAGCCUGGGCGACAGAGCGAGACCCCAUCUCAAAAAUAAAAUGCUAUUUAAAAUGGAUAAAUAAUUAUUUUGCCUUGUGAUUUUAAGUAAAAUCCAUGACAGAAAUCAGCAUGGCCCAUUCAUUGCUCAUUCUCUAUCCAUUUUGCAAAAACUAGAAACCUAAAGUCUACAUUUUUCAAACUCCCUUGCAAGUACAGUUCUACAUGUAAAUUCGGUACACCUGAGUAAGACUUGGACUCAUGAUGAAAUAACCUGGGGUUAAGGGGCAUUCACUAUGCAUGUGCAGAUCAUAGCAGAAACAACAUGAUUUUGGAGCCAAUAGCUAUAGACAUGGCUUCCAGAUUCAGCAGGUGGUGGCUUUCUAAUUUGGCAUCUUCCUAAUGGUGGCUUCCUUCAAGAGUCAGCAGCAGGCAACAGCUUCCUUACUCUGCACCAAUCAUCUAUGGCAGAAGUAGCAGCUCCCAUUUUUCUGAGCAUGCUGCCCUCAGUGCCUGGAAGGUCUCACCUUCCUAUCUCUGCCUGAAUUAUAUUAACUUAGCUUUCCAGAUUCAGCCAAUGUAUCGGUUUGUCACGGAAGAUUUUGGGAACACCCUCACACCCCACUGCCCUGGGUAAGUUAGGUCACCCUCCCAUGUGUUCUCAUUUAUGCCUUGUGUAUUCCCAGUUUACUAAGUAGCACACUCCAUUAUAUUUAUUGGUUUAUUUGAUCUAUUUCUCUAUUAUAUAGUAAGAGCCUUUUGGAUAGAAACUAUGUCUUUGUUUUAACUAUGAAACCCCAGCCCUAAGUAUAUUUGGUACAUAGUAGGCACUCAAUACAUCAAUGAAUGAAUGAAUGUCUGAAUGCCAGUGUGAGGCUUCCAUGCAAAUGUGGCCUUCUCAUUGAAAUCAUUAUUUCUAAACAUAUAUGAGAAAUUAUUCCCAAAGAGAGAAACCUAAUUACUCUGUAAUUCAAAUGAAGUAGCAUCUAAUCCACUCUCACAUGUAACGUUCCUGAAUGGUCCAUGAAGCACCAUUGAAUUUCCUAAAUCUUUCUUUCCUGAUAAGAGCCCAUUAACUUAACUAAAAAGAGCGCUUAUUUCCAGGCUCUGUUUUGGGGUGAGAAAAACACUUUACUAACUAAAUAUUUGUAAAGGGAAGAGUCAAAUUAAAAUGAUGAGGCAGAUUGGUUUCUUUAGCAGUUUUUACCUUGUAAUUGCCCUAUCUUGUUUGUUCAGUUACGACCAAAGAGAGACAAAGUAUGGACUCCAGUGGUUGGAAGAAUUUCUUAAAACAUUAGAUUAAGAAUGUAGGCAUUUUAGGUUUGCAGGACACUGAUGAAAGAAUUUUGCAUUCAUAUUACUUCCACUUGUGAUUUAGGCAAUAGUUAAAGGUUUUUAGUAUCAACGGUAUUGUCACGGGAAGCAGAAAAUUGCAAUACAAAGAAAAAUUUGGUAGCUGUCUAGUAAUGACAAUACCUGAUACAUUAUAUAUGGCUGGCUGUUUUAAUUUGAAUUAAUUAAGCUUGUUUAUGUCUUCCAAAUAUCUACCUGCACAGAUAAAGAUAACUGGUAACCUUUUCUUUUUCUGAUGGAAUGGAAUGUUUUUAUGUGUCAAAUUAUAGAUCAUUAAUGAAAAGGCAGAGAAAAUGAUGAAGAUAUCAUACUGCUAUCCCAUCUACACAGUCAAGUUGAAACUUUUAAACAAACAUAAUUGCCAUAGUACAAUGAAUUGUUAUAUAUAUAUAGUACAAUGAAUUAUUAUAGUACAAUUAUAUAUAGUACAAUGAAUUAUUUUCAAACACAAACCUUCAUUUUCUAUGUUUCUUGACUGUCUUUUAUGGUAUUCAUAUUCCCCAUCAAGAAAUAUAGGACUAUAGCCUCUCAUUCAAGUUAUUGCUGAGAAUCCUGCGGCAGUGUUCACCUUCUGACUGGUGCAUCUCACUCCUAACAUUGUUCUGAACACCAUUCAUGUAUUCAAUAAAUAUGUAUUUUUUUUUUCUUUGAGACAGAGUCUCGCUUUGUCAUCCAGGCUGGAGUGCAAUGGCACAAUCUUGGCUCACUGCAACCUCUGCCUCCUGGAUUCAAGCGAUUACCCUGCCUCAGCCUCCCGAGUAAAUGGGACUACAAGUGCUUGCCACCAUGCCCGGCUAAUUUUUGUAUUUUUAGUAGAGGCGGGGUUUCACCAUGUUGGCCAGGCUGGUCUUGAACUCCUGACCUCAAAUCAUCCACCCACCUCAGCCUCCCAAAGUGCUGGGAUUACAGGCGUGAGCCACCAUACCAGGCCUAAAUAUAUAUUUUUGUGCUGCUUCUGUAUCCAGGACUGUUGCAAGCACUGGGGAACCAGUUGUGAAAAGCAGAGAUGUGGUGUGAGUACUGGCCUUUUUAGAGUAGCUUAGUUGGUAGCUGGAAAAGGGAUAUAUACAAGCAAGGUUAAAGAAAGAAAAGAGUAGUAAGUGCUGCGAAGGAAAUUAAUAGGGUACUGUGAGAGAGACUGACAGCAGACAUGGGCCUUUGAGAGCUCCCAAGUCAUUGUGUCCCUGCACAAUGCUGGACCUCUACUGGCUUUCUCUAAGUUCCCUGUGAUGUGGAACUCCUGUGAUGGGCUCCUGGCAGGCUUCCUGGGAAGGUGACUGCCUGCUCACCAUGUCCCAAUACCUUUGUGUGCUACAAAGUUCUCUUCUUUCUCAGAGGAUUUUACUUUAUUAAAUGAACCCUUAACACCCUAGCCAGAAGUAUUUGCAUUUGGAUGACUUUAAUUGUCUGGGCUUUCCUGAGAACACCUGUGAAUAUUUAUUCAACUAUUAGGAAACCAAAAGAGUCAUCAUAGUUGUGUCUGUCAUGUAGAGAAAAUAGCUCUGUACCAAAAUGGUGAGUGAUGUGUUACUCACUUUAUAUGAACAAAAGUAGAGAAUUAGACAAAUAAUUUGGAUUUGGGAUGAAUUACAAAACCUCAGUAGCAGCACUGAAUGGCCAUUUAGCUAGGAAACAGAAGCUUGGCAGUUUUCUGGGUUUAUCUCAGGAAACAGGUUCAAAUCCAGGCUGUGCUAUUCACCAUACCUCAUGCAUGACAUUAUGCAAAUUAUGUUUCUGAUAUUUUAGUUCACCCUAAUAGUACUGAAUAGAAGCAACUGCUCUCUAACUCCCAGAAGGCUGUAGGAUUUAAAUGGAAGUAUGCCAUAAAAUUAUUGAUAUUACUUUUUAAAAAUUUUAGAGCAAAAUAACAUUUAUGAGGUCAAUAUGUGCCAGAAUUACCCAAUGUUGGCAAAAUUAUCCUGUGUUACAGAUGCAGAAGCUAACAGAGAGGGGGUAAAUGGUUGACCCAAAGUCACAGUGGUAAUAAGUAUUACUGGGGUGAAAAAUGAAAUGUGAUACAUGGUCCUAUUCUCUUUCUCUUAAACCAGGUAGAAAAAUUGACGGUGUGAAUUAUAAUUUAUUUCAUUCCAAGGUUUGUGUUUAAACAUCUGUUGUCAGUGUCCACCUCUAAGUAGAGGAGACCUUCAGAAUGGCUUGAUUCCUGCUGUUACCCACCAAAAUAGGCCUAUUUUUACCUGCUGCACAUAUUCUUUACUCUUAAAUUUUCUUUUAAAUCAAGAGUUUUGAGAUUAAUAUGAAUAAGUAAAUGAAUGAAUGAAUGCCCUUCAUUUAGGCUACUGUGAAUUGGCAAAAUCAUUUGAGAGCUGGUCAAUAGUUUGCUCUCAUAAGGUAGGCUGCAUAGACUCCUAUGAUAAUUUUCUAAAACAUUUGAAAAAUAUCCAAAUAAAAGCUUAAGAAUGUUGGUUGGUUUACCCAGCAUUGUCUCCAAGGAAACUCUUUCUUUUUUUUUUCUUUAGCCUGAGAAUUACUGUGUAGGAGGGAUCCUGUGAAAAGGACCUGUUAAAUCAUGUUAAAUAUUCAUUUGCUUACUUUAGCAUCUGGAUAAAGACUUUUUCACACUUUGAAGGAUACAUAUCCUGGAGUAACUUUAAUUGACUUGGUGAACUAUCUUUCUCCCUAAAAGAAGGCUAGAUAAGCUGGGACCAUAUAUUUUAUUAUAUUAUGAAAACAUAAAAAAUACCAUAAAGGGAAAUCAAAGUAGUGAUGGAUCAGCAGAACUGCUGUGAUAGUUGUAAUAUUUUUUCAAACAUGUGAGCAGAAAAUAAUGAUUUUUCUAUACAUAUGUAUGCAGAAAUAUACAGGUGUUUACAAUCUGGUAUAAUUUGUAGUGAAUUUUAAAAUUUAAAAACAGAAGGAACCCAUGAAUGAUUAGCAUUUCAAAUCCAAGGUGGAUAAAAGCUAUAAUGAAACAGCAAAUUAUACUUUUUAAUAAAUGCAUUGUUCUCCAGAAAGAGAUUAUUGUAUUCACUGACAGCCAAUUCUGUAAUGAUGAAUUAUUAUUUAAAAGCCUUUCUUUAUGAUAUUUUUAGUAAGCAAUUAAGAAAUAACUGCUCAGCUAAUUUUUAUGUAUAUGUUUAUAAAUCUUGGCUUUAGUUAAAAUUUCCAUCAAGUUAGCUGAUAAAUAUUUUUGAUAGUAUAUGUAUCUCCCCUACCUUUUCUUUCUUUAAAAUUCCCAAACAGCAUAAUUUUUCCAACCAUAAAAAUACAGUAAAAAAAAAUUGGCAAAGUUGGAUUUUAUACCUGUUGCCUUUUUAAAUAAGAAGCACUAAUCAUCACUUAGAAUUUCACUGUUACUUGUCCUCAAAGCGUAGAACUUUUGCUGUGGUCCCUCAAAUUGUGAUUAACCUAAGGCCAAAUUUCUAUCUUAUUUUGUACCUCUUCCUAUUUUUAGGUCUUUCUAAGGUCUUUAAAAUGCAAGGAAAAUGCCCUAGUCCUGAAUCUGAGGAAGAUUCAGCAUAAAAGAAAUGUAGCACUUUUAUUUUCAAACUGGAAAAAGUUAAAAGUUUCUUUGGGGCCAGGUGUGAUGGCUCACUCCUAUAAUCCCAGCACUUUGAGAGGCCAAGGCAGGUGAACUGCCUGCACUCAGGAGUUUGAGACCAGCCUGGGCAACAUGGUGAAACCCUGUCUCUACCAAAAUACAAAAAAUUAGCCGGGCAUGGCGACGUGUGCUUGUAGUCCCAGCUACUUGGGAGGCUGAGGCAGGAGAAUUGCUUGAACCCAAGAGGCAGAGGUUGCAGUGAGCCGAGAUCACGCCACUGCACUCCAGCCUGGGCAACAAAAAAGAAAAGAAAAAAAAAGUUUAUUUGGCAUUAAGGUAUGUUUAAAAAUUUUUUACUCUCAUUUUAAUUUUUAUAAGCAUCUCACAGUUUUCUGGGGUAUAUUAUUGGUAAUCAUUAUGGUUUACCAGUUGAUUGUAAGUUUUAUGAUUAUCAAUCAUGUAAGCUUUUUAUUUUUGUAUAAAACAUCUAUUGACAAAUGGAUGAAAUCAGCAAUGAUCCAAUUAUUGAAAUUUAAGGUACAGAGGAAGAGUGCCCUCUAAAUAAAAGUGUUCUUCAAAGACCUGAAAGAUAAACUUUGUAUUUUUUAUUUUUUGCUUUGGAGAGCUUUCAAUCAAUAAGCAGCUCAAAGUGAAGUGCAGGUAACCAGGCAGUGAGUCCAGGGCUGUAUCUUUCCGUGAUGCAGCAGGAGGAGAGAACAGGAUCAGUAGAAAGAGAAGAAGGUUAGAUAGAAGCUAAACUGUUGUACCUUAAAAUUCUGCCUCCAGCUAGUGCUAAAAAUUUUAAAUAUAAUUCUGUUUUUGGCUGGGUCAUACCAUACUCUCUUUCACAUGAAGUUCUUUAAGCUUAAUUUUUUCAGAAUACUUCUCUUGAAUUUUUAUUAUUUACUUUUGCAUGAUUUCUAUCUUUAGUUACUAACAGAACAUCAGUAGUUAUACUUUUAAUAAUUUGUUUUUAGGCAUUGCUAUGGUUUAAGUAUCAUUUAUACUCACCAAAAUUUGUGUUGAGGAUUAAGUUUACAGAGUGUAAUGUGUUGAGAGGUUAUAAGACCUUUGAGAUGUGUUUGGGUACUGAGAGAUCUGACCUCAUGAAGAGAUUAAUGCAGUCACCUGGGAGUGCGUGGGUUCCCACAGGACUGGAUUAGUUUCCAUGAGAAUGGGUUCUUAUGAAGCAAGGCUGCUACUUGUGUUUGGUCUGUUUUUGCACAUGUUUGCUCACUCUUCCACUUUCCUGCCAUGCUGUGAAGUAACAUGAAGUCCUCACUAGGUGGGCUGCCCAAUGUUGGACUUCCCAGCCUUGAGAACCAUAAGCUAAAUAAACCUCUUUUCUUAAUAAAUUACCCAAUAUCAGGUAUUCUGCUAUCGUAACACAAAACAGACUAAGACGGUCGUGUAGCUUUAAACAAUAAUGGCUAAGUUAAGGCCAGGGCACUUGGAAAAGCUUACAAUUUUCUGUCCUCACUUGUCUCAUUUAUAUAUAUAUAUUUGAGACAUUAUAUAUAUAUAUAUAUAUAUAUACACACACACA
RNAcentral lists this long non-coding RNA (64963 nucleotides) under Homo sapiens (human). RNAcentral's name for it is "non-protein coding lnc-IMMP2L-1:10". The record is from RNAcentral. Lineage: Eukaryota; Metazoa; Chordata; Mammalia; Primates; Hominidae.